GGAAGACGCUGACGAAGAGGACGAGGAUGAAGACGAGGACGAUGCUGGUGGUAAGGUCGAGCCUCCGCCAAAGAGGAAGCGAUUGGACAAGGACAACUCUGACGACGACGAUGAUGAUGGGGGCGAGGAUGAUGAGAGACCUGCCAAGCGAUAGGCCCAAGGGCCCUUCGUGGUCUGAGCAAUGACUUUGACAUAUUGACUCUAUUUUCUCUCUCAAAACCCGAUCCUCUUUGCAGCAGGGAAAAAAGAUAGCUGGUUUUCAAUUGGAGUAAGCUUUUUCUUUUGGGUCGUUUGUGUAUCCUGAAAGUGCAUUAGGAUUACGAGCAUAACUCUUUGUACUGUCGAUGCAUAGUCCGCACGGGUUUCGACAAACUGUGUUGCAACAGCUGAUUUAGACAUGUGGCCCCGUGGGAGUUAGGAGAUUCGGCAAACAUUUCAUUGGACACAGUCAUGUUUUGUAGGUUUCUAUAAUUAAGAGUUCUCUGGUUAGGGUCUUUAAUCCUCAUUUUUAUGCGGUCUUUGAAUCUUUCGGCAUGUCUCUAUCUCAAUACCCAUCCUCCCAGUUCCUUUCUUUCUCGUCUUUUUGGCCAUUUUCUCAGUUCAUUAGAUGCAUGUGAUUUGGCAAAAGCUCAACUUGGAUGGUCGGGGUCUCCUUUUCGUUUUCAAUUGAGGCGGAUGUGCCAUCCCUUUGAGGUGAUUCGUUUAAGACGAUCACAAGUGAUGAGUGUUCCUAAGUUUCUCAUCUCAUGCUUUCAUUACAAUGAGUUCUCCCCGGGAAGGAGUAAGGGCAUUGGGCCAUGCGAAGAGCUUCCUCUUUUCAAACGAAGGUGAACCUCCAAAGAGCUUUUGCGAGCGGAAACUGGUGGAAGUUAUAUUUUCGUAAGUAAUGAACAACGGAUGAAUUCGACAUGCGAACAAUGAUUGACCAAGUAAGGUCGACUUCGGGUUGGUUUUUAGGAUGGUUGUCCGGUACUGAACCCGGUUACUUCCUUGCACGUAUAUCCCUAACCAAUUUGCGAAUCUCCUUACGGAUGCAAAACCAUUUCUAACUCCGUACCUACUUACCAAAGGUUCGACUUUCAACCUUCACAAUGGUUUAAGUUUUCCUCCUCCAUCAUUCGAUAGUUUGAAUGAAGGAGUCCCAACCACAUGAACCUUUCAAGUACAAAACAUGUUAUCGAGUCUAGUGACUACAGAUUUGCACUGGCCGCGAUUCCUUCAGGACAUAGCCUAUAUGAUGGACUACGAAAGUAGAGCAUCGCCAUUGAUUCUCAGAGCAAAUGGGAGGGGGAGGGGGGGAGGGGGGGUACAACUUAAAACAAGUUAAUUUACAUCUCGCAUAUGCAUAUGAAAGGGCAACCCUCUCCACACGAAAGAGAGAGAACUGCGGAGAACAUCUCCCUCUAACUGAAAUUCCCAUAUUUUACGUUUCCAAACGCGUAUACCAAAGUGUUUCCACAGCAACACUAGUACACAGAGGAACCGAUACGCAUAGUAUUUUCCCCGUUACAAACACGUGUAAUUCAUGUAUAACGCUGUCCGUAAGUAACAUCGAAUAUGUCAUGCUAGAUAAUGGAUGUCAACCAAAUAGUUAAAAUCAUCGGCCAACAGAAACUAGUCCUCAAAAAACAUCCGAUAAGCAUCUUAACCAAAGAAAAUAGCAGGCAAGAAGCCAUGCGUCAUGUCAUCUGGUUCUCAAAGAUCUCAAUGCUCUAGUCAUCUGACAAUGCUCUAGAAGGAUUGAUUUCUCUUGAUGGAGGAAGGUUAGUAUCAGGAUGGCCAUCCAUGACUAGCUGGUAAAGCGUUGAAAGGUUUGCUUGUUACCACGGAUGGUGUUAUACAGACUACAUGCUUCGAGGAGUAUUCGCCUCGCCCACAAUUUAUAUGUUCCCCCUGGUAUUCCUCCUAGAUGUGAUGUUGCACCAAACCUACCGCCCCGUUUGGUUCAGCUUUUCCAAGGGGCUUUGGGCAUCCCUUGGAAAAAAUAUUUUGCGUUUGGUUCGCACUUUUGAGUCUCCAUUUGCCAAAUGCCAGCAUUUGAAAUUCCGAAAGCCCAAAAAGCUUUCAGCAAUUUCGAAAUGUUAGUCUAAGGUUUAAUGAAUUAAUAUUGCUCUAAUUGAUAAUCAUGUUUUCCUCUUUUGCUCUCAAAAAAUACUGUUCAUUGUCUUCUUCCUUCUUUCUCACGAAGCUCCCGCCUUCCUUGCGAAGCUCAAUCGGCGAGCGGUGCUCAGCUGUGAGCAGCCAGAUCUGGUUGCUAGGAAGCCUUGCCUGAGGUCACGCGACCUGAGGCGAGGUGGCCUAAGGUCAAGCGACCUCGGGUGUCACUUGGGUCGCUUAACCUCAAGCGUCGCCUGAGUCGCGCGACCCAGGGCGUUGCCAACCUCAGGCAACACUGCCUCCCCCCACCGCCACUGCCGCUAGCCGCCUCCCACCACCACCACCACCAUCACUACCGAGCAACUACAUCUCCUCCUCCCUUUUCUUUUCUUUUCUUUUCUUUUUUUCCUUUUUCUUUUCACCUUAAAGCUGCUUUGCAAAAUAUACACAAAAAUGAGUUUCCAAACACACUUGCAUUCACAAAAUGUCCAUUCAUUCAAAAUUACUUGGGGAAAUGCAAAGCCAUUUCCCCAAAAUUGAACCAAACGGGCCUCAAGGGAAAAAAAUGAGUAAACACAAGUGAGACAUGCCAGCAUAGAAGUAGCAUAUGAUACUAAUGUGCUGCCACAUUUAUCCUCUGCAAUAGCUAGAAACAGCGAACAACAGAUCGGCAUGGCAUCACCUUGCGACUAGAUGCAUCUCGUGCGUCUCUUCAUGGCCAAACAACAAAAAUCUUUUCACAACGGAAGUGCCGAUCAGGAGAGACUGAGUCUUCCGAUAUCUAAUUUAAUGUCAUCCAGAAUCAAGCUAGGUAAUUCUUCUUCUUCUUCUUCUUCAUUUCCCUUCUUGUUCCAAUACUUUUUCAAAAUCUCCGAGGCUUGUUUGUUGACCUCACUGUUCAUGUGAGUCUGGAGGUCCGUGAUUUUGUUGAACCCCUUACAUCCAUUAAUCAUGCGCAAAUAUUCUUUGUUCCCUUCACCGCUCUCCAGAAUGCUUUCCACACUAUCUAGGCACAGUGUUAUGAUCUGAGGGUUGGAGCAAGUAAGGAGAUCGCAGAGCGGCUUGAUACAACCCUGGCUCACCAAGUAUCUGCAAAAACAUAAACAAUCUUUCAUUGCAAUGAACUGCCGAUUAUAUUUUUUCCAGUGAGACUUUCCUUUUCUUCAUUAUUCUGCAAGUGCAGUCAACAUGAAAUGGAACUGCAUUCCCUGCUUCAUCAAAUCAAUGUAGGUAACAGGACAGAAUAAACCUAGACAAACCAUAUGACAAGCAGAAGACAACAAGAACGACAAUCUCAAAGUAAUUAACCAGUUAGUUUAUACAUGGACAUGAGCUAUGGGCGUUUAAUUCUCUUGAGCUAUUAAAAAUGAAUCACAAAGGGAACAACAUGGGCAUGAUUUCCAUCUUUUGGGUGAUAACCAGCACAAUGUUCCUCAUUUUGUGUUGGAGCAGAGCAAAUAUAGAUAGAGACAUACUGAAUUUGUUCAUGGGACCCGCCAGAGACAGCAUACGAAAUAGCCCAUGCAGCCUCUUUCUUAAUUUUGAAUUCAUCAUGUUGAAGAAGGCUCACGAGAGGAGGAAUAAUGUUUGCUUCAAUUACAGCCUGAAAAGGACAAUAGAACCAUUUUUAAAAGAUUGUAUAGCACAGUGACCUAUGGAAACAUCUCUUAAGAGGGUCAAUUUCAUAAUUAAAAUGCUAUGUCUCAUAGCAAAAUCCAUACAGGAUCAUUAGGGAUUCAGAUCCUGACUUGUCUGGUAAUGUUAUAGAUCUAUCAGAUAAGAAAAGCUCCUUCUAAAAAAUUAGAAAACAAGCAAAAGGAGUAAGAGUGAACGUAAUUCUGGUAUUCAAUCUUGAAAGUGUACUUUGGAAAUACGCCAGAAGUUCCUUAUCAAGAAAAUCAAAAGUGAAAACAAUUACUGUGUUGAAGGAGAGGCUGCUCUGACCAGAGAGAAGAGACAAGGUACCAUCAAUUAUAGAAAGAUUCACCUGGGAAUUCAGUAUAAUGACGGGGCAGCAUUUUAUAACAGCACGAUUGAGCAAAAGCAUCUACGAUAAGGCCUUAAUAGACACUUCUUUCAUAUUCAAUGCUCAAUACAAUAUACUGUGCUAUCAUCGAAUAGAGGUUUUACCUGAAUUUGAUUUAUGUUACCCGCUGUAAUAUUUGCAAUUACCCAACAAGCUUCUUCCUUGAUACUCUUAUCCCAAUUUCCAGUCAGAAUUUGACAUAAAGGAGGCAGUCCUUGAUUGUCAAUUACAAACUGCAAUCAAAAACCAAGUCUUCAGGUAAGGAUAAAAGAAGCUCGGUUUAAUCUUGGAAAGUACCUACGAAUCCCAAGACAAAAUAAACAAGUCAGAAACAUCAGUUACAUGAAUGCAGUUACUUCAAGUACAGAGAUAAUGGGAGAUGCACAUUUUGCUGCUCGGAAUCCAAAAGACCUAAUGAUUUCAAAAGACUGAACUACGUUUAUUAUUUUCAGUCGUAUAAGGGGGACAGAAAGACCUGAGUCUGAGCCUCGGUGCCCGCCACAAUGUUCCCCACAGUCUUAAGAGUUGGCACCUGGACUUCAGGUGAUGGAUGCCUGCAAAAGGAACCACAUAGGAAAAGAAACUGAAUCAAUGCCAAAAAAUAAAAUGGUAUCCUUAAAACGAAGUUUGACAGCACAAUCAGUGAAAUAUCCACCCUAGUGUCACUUUGUCUAUACCAAGAUCCAAUCAGUAUUCAUGAAGCUUAAGUAAAACCAAUUAACAAAAUCUUUUCAGCCAGUGAAGUAUGCUUAAACUAAGAGCACAAAUGGUUCGACUGUUUUACUAUGCUCCGUUCACAAAUUGGUCUUCUGUAUUUGUAUGCCCAGACUAGAAAUAUAUGCAGCAGACUCGACAUUCUUUCGCCAUGCAAGAAAACCCAUGUAUAUCAUCUUACAUGAGAAGUUCUAGAAGCCGAGGACAAAAUCCUGCGUCAAGCACAGACUGGAUAGUAGGAAUUGAGCCAUCACAAAUCAAAGACAGAGCCCUGCACGUGUCAAUCAAUACUGCUUCGUAGGCCGGCUUAACCUAAAGGCAGCAAAGAGAAAUCAUAAUCCUCCAAAAAUACUAAUAAAGUAUUUUAGAAUUCUGAAAGACAGGAGCGGAAAUUUUAAUCAUUAAAUUAUAUGACUCAAGUUCACAUUCAAUUCAGAAGUAUAAGGUGAUGCAACUGGAAGGUGUGUUGGAGCAGAAUCCUUCAUCUCAGUCACGAUUCUUUCACAACUCAGUUCAGUUUACAAUUGAGGCACAUGAACUCAAUGAUAUGGUGCAUUUCACUGAAGAGCCUCACCAAACCUUUGUGGUUUGGCUCAUUCUAACAACUUAAAGAUGUACUAACUAAGUUUCACAUCACAUGUGAUUCUAACUUGAAAUUCAAUAAUUAAAUCAGCUAAACCACUCGAUUGGGAAAGUAUAUACGAAUCCCAAGACCAAUUAAAAAAGUCAAAAACAUCAUUCACAUGAAUGCAGUUAUUUCAAGUUCAGAGAUAAUGGAAGAUGCACAUUUUGCUGCUCUAAUGCUUUCAAAAGACUGGACUACAUUUAUUAUUUUCAGUCUUAUAAGGGGGACGGAAAGACCUGAGUCUGAGCCAUGUCGCCUGACAAAAUGUUCCCUAAAGUCUGGAGAGUCGGUACCAGGACUGCAGGUGAUGGAUGCCUGCAAAAGGAACCACAUAUGAGAAAAGAAACUGAAUUGACACCAAAAAAUAAAAUGGUACCCUUAAGACAAAGUUUGACAGCACAAUCAGUGAAAUAUCCACCCUAGUGUCACUUUGUCUAUACCAAGAUCCAAUCAGUAUUCAUGAAGCUUAAGUAAAACCAAUUAACGAAAUCUUUUCAGCCAGUGAAGUAUGCUUAAACUAAGAGCACAAAUGGUUCGACUGUUUUACUAUGCUCCGUUCACAAAUUGGUCUUCUGUAUUUGCAUGCCCAGACUAGAAAUAUAUGCAGCAGACUCGACAUUCUUUCGCCAUGCAAGAAAAGCCAUAUAUAUCAUCUUACAUGAGAAGUUCUAGAAGCCGAGGACAAAAUCCUGCGUCCAGCACAGACUGGAUAGUAGGAAUUGAGCCAUCACAAAUCAAAGACAGAGCCCUGCACGUGUCAAUCAAUACUGCUUCCUCUUUUGAAUUAAUGAGGUGCCUGAGGGCAGGCAAGGCCGGCUUAACCUAAAGGCAGCAAAGAGAAAUCAUAAUCCUCCAAAAAUACUAAUAAAGUAUUUUAGAAUUCUGAAAGACAGGAGCGGAAAUUUUAAUCAUUAAAUGAUAUGACUCAAGUUCACAUUCAACUCAAAAGUAUAAGAUGAUGCAACUCAAAGGUGUGUCGGAGCAGAAUCCUUCGUCUCUGUCAUGAUUCUUUCACGACUCAGUUCACUUUACAAUUGAAGCACAUGAACUCAGUGAUAUGGUGCAUUUCACUGAAGAGCCUCACCAAACCUUUGUGAUUUGGCUCAUUCUGACAACUUUAAAAUGUACUAACUAAGAUUUACAUCACAUGCGAUUCUAACUAGAAAUUCAACAAUUAAAUCAGCUAAACCACUCGAUUGGGACUUAAAACCUCAUAAUAGACAUACUAAUACAUUAGGUGUGAAAUCCACAUUUUGAUAACCCUACCUUGUGAUCCAUGAACUGCGAAGCAACAUUUCUUUUCCUUCCCUCAAUCCUCUUAUAGUCUAUUAGAACAGAGGGCAAUGUAACUUCUCCAAUCAUUUCUUGAACAAUCGAAAGUCAUGACAGGGUCAACAUCAGUACUCUUCUCAGUCAAGGGAGACGCCACUUGAAUCUACUUUGUGUUUGCGUCUGUGCAUGUAUGUGUGUGCAAGGGAGUGCUUAAGGGUAACAAAAGAAUUGCAUUUUUUGACAACUUCCUGUUUUACCUUUAAACCACAAUUGAUUCUCACAAAGUUUCAUUGAACAUAUUACAUUUAAUUUAUUUUUGUAAAUCCCAAAAUGUGCAGUUUUGAGGCGCUAAGCUUCCUUAUUCAUCUAUUCUAGAUCUAAUCAGUGAAUCUUAUGGUCCACAACUCAGUUUUACGAAAGACGUGACUUGCCAUUGAUGUUUCAGACCUCAUUUUGACGACUACAGAAAUUAACAACGAUUCCUUUCCUGUUUAAAUGGAGGAGGAUGCUUGCCAUCACAUAAGUUGAGUAAAGUCCGAGCAAUGCUCCUCAUCAUGGUCGAUCCUGGAUGUUUAUCCAAUUGAGCCAAUAGUAGAUCUAGAGCGCCUGCACUUAAUACAAGAUCCCUGCAAUCUUGCGAGUCAGCGGCAAUAUUUGCCAGAGCCCAGAUAGCCUGCUUGAUUCAUGGGAAUUCAGAUUAGAUCAUCUUAUCCAUCAUAUUUACCAAAAAGUUUUAAGAAAUCAACUCAAAGAAUUGUCAUGAGAAAAAACAAAAGACCCAACCUGUUCUCGAGCAUAAGCAAAUGUAGAGUGAAGAAGUUGCACGAAUUUAGGGAUAGAUCCGAGUUGGAUGAUGAGUUGUACGUGAUCUGAUGUCCCAGAAGCUAUAUUGGCCAAUGCCCAUGCAGCCUCAGACUGAAGAUGAAGAAAUAUUAUGACAUGAUGGCAAAUGAUUUCCUUUUGGCUGCAAAAACUAAGAUCUCAGUGAAAGAACAUUGAUAGAAACUAAAAGGGACCAUACUUGUAGUAGAGGAAAAGCGCCCUCAUCAAGGAACUUCACGAGUCGAGGGAUGACUCCUGCUCUGACAACCGCAUUGAUCACAGGGCUCUCACCUUCGCAUAUAUAUGAUUUGUCAUUGAUCAUGCAAACAUUCCAAUAACAAUCAGGCUAAAGGAAAACAAUUAAAGGAGGAGGGACAGAGGGCUUUGAAAUUACCAGUCGAUAAGAACUUCCUGAUCACCGUGGUUGCUGCUAAAUACCGGGAAGAAUCAUCCGAUAACAGAUGUUCCAACUGUCAUGAAAACUGGUCAGAAACUAUUUGACCCGACAUUAGCAUAGCCACAGAUGACUCGUUUCAAAUGGAUAGCACUAAGUUCCGCAGCGAUGGCUGAUGAAUGCAAAAGCCCCAUUCCUUGUUGGUCAUCAAAAUAGAACUACAUUUUGAUUUUUGAAGGUUGACUGAGGUGAUAUAGCAGUAUAGCAGUUGCCCUGUCACUUGCAAUAGGUUCUGAUCGAUGGGGUAGGAAUAGUUGAGGUGGUUGUUAUCGCUCGCAUUUGAGGAUGUCUGUGGAUCAAGAAUCCCACUGAAUCUAUAGUGGCAUGUGUGGUCGGCAGCAGGAUAAUGAAAUCAGUUAAAGAACCCAACUUUGUUCUCAAACUUUUUCUUCUUUUCUGGACUCCUUUAAUUAACGUGAAGACUCUUUUCCCAAUUCAGUUCCUUUUGUCUUGACCAUUUAUUGCAGAAGACGGCACCAGCACACACAUAAUUGGUCGACCGUUCUCCAAGUUAUUACUGUACUGUGAAAAGCGAGGACUCUCUUCAUGGAAACAAACCCUCUAAGGACCAACCCAAAAAUCUAUUUCAAGGGAUGAAAAUCGCAUCUUGCUGUCCCACCUUUUCUUUUCCUGCAAAAAGCAAGUGUCCAAGAUUUCUUAAUUGCCUCGCUUGAUCAACCCCAUUUCUCUCCUUUUUUGUGGGGGAGCAUUUUAGUUUCUAUAAAUAACAAGUCUUCCCCAUCAACAAGAACGACGAGUCGCCCAGAAAACUAAGCUACGCAGUGACCCAAACGCACUCCAGAAAAUAAAAAGGAACUGAGCGAAGUAGGGUUAACAGCAAUUGAACACAAUCAAACACUAGGCAACAGCGGAAGGACGAAUUAAAACAUAAGAGAAAAAAAGAGAAAUGGAGAAUAAAAUGAAAAAGAAAAAGAAAUGUGAAAAAAGAAGACCUCGGGUAGAAGACGUUUCUUCUUGAGAAUUUCUGAUUUCUUUUCCUCCCUGAUUCGCACCAGCUCCUCCUCUGUCUUGCUCCUGGCUUUCUCGGGGCUCAAGCCUUUCUUGUGCUGGUUCUUGCGUGUCGCACUGGAUGGACUCGGAGACAUUAUUACUCGCGCCUCUCUCUACUCUCUCCCUCUCACUCUCUCCAAGGUCCUCAGUAGUGGGGGUUUGUCCCUCGCAAGAAGCUCCAAGAAGGUGUUCAAUGGAGAACGGGGAGUAGAGAGCAGAAAAACAGCAAAACGACGACCAAAACCGACUCGGGCUUCGUGCAGAGUGGAGACUGGUAGUUAAAGACUGGUAGUUGCCAAGUCUAGUCAGCUUGACUCUUCGUACCUCCGGAUCAUAAAAUUCGUUGGCGGGCCGGUCCUCGCCUCUCCACCAUUGCGAGAGAGAGAGAGAGAGAGAGAUAGAGAGGAGCAGCAAUACAUAAACAACGGUCGAGCCAACACAUGCUGGGACUACAGUUACUUCGAGACAGACCAGAUCAUGGCACCGGGUCCGGCUCGAUCAAAUCCGGUGGCGAUAGAUAGACCCUUCACGGUUGUCGAGCUCGAAGAGGUUGAAGCGGCCACGGUUGGUGGUGUUCAAGGAGAAAAUAUUGGGUGAUCCGGGAGCUCCACGUCAGCGUGGUCCCGGCCACUCACGAGAUGCCAUGUGAAGGGGUGGGCCCAUUUGGUGUCUUCUGCCUUUUUCCCAUUCUCUCUCCUCUUCUUAGCCUGCCAACGCCCUCUCCGGAGGAAAGAGAAGCCCGUUCCUUCCUCUGUCACUCUCCAUUUCUUUCCUUUCGAAAUUCAAGUUGUGCAGAGCGGACGUCACCGUCGCGUUUCGCUGGAAGAGAGGUGCGACUUCGAGGACGAAAGAGAGAGAGAGCGGACUAGAGGUCGCAAGAGGGAGGCAGAGGGGCGUCGGCGUCGGCGUCGGAAUCGAGGGCGAUGGAGUCAACCGGCGGAGGCGGAGGUGGAGGGCCAUCCGCGUCGCGUUUCGCGUACAGCACCAGCUUCUCCAGCAACCUCGCCUCCGAGCCUUCCGUGUGGGGGGUCUCGCUCGGCGGGCGACGCUCGCCGACGUUGAGGGGAGCUCGAAAAGGCCUGCUUCUCCUCCGCGUGCUGCAUCUGUGAUUUCGGGAACGCCGAAACGAACGACGAGCAGCAACGAGCCGAAGAGAGAAGCGAGCGAGCACCGGAGUAGGGGCGGCCGCAAUGUGGUUCGUUGGCGACGGCAGGGGAACGGCUGCUUGAUGCACGCCGGAGCAGCAACGAGAGCGCGGAGGGAGAAAAUUUCAGAUUCAAAAUUUCGAAAGGAAAGAAAUGGAGAGGGACAGAGGAACGAACGGGUUCCUUGGCAAGCGGAGGAAAGAGAAAAGUUUAAGCCGCAAUAAAUGCGCUGCACAGGAGACAGAGCGUGCAGGCUAAGAGAAGAGAGGGCGUCGACAGGCAUCUCGUGAGUGACUGGGGACCACGCUGACGUGGAGUUCUCGGACCACCCAAUAUUUUCUCGGUGUUCAAGGGUGGCCGGCGUGGCUUUGCUACGGUAGAGUUUCGGUUGCAUGCUAUGCUGACGUGGCAUCAUUCCGAAAGAACACAUCGGAUUGAUCGAAUUUAACGGAGACACCAUGUUGAAUUAAAUUUCAAAAGUUGAGAUAAUUAAAUCGGACUAAUAAAAUUUUAGGUAAUUGAUUGAAUUCAACAGAGAUGCCACGUCGUUGCCCCCUCAUAAAGAAGAAGACGACGACGACGACGACGACGUGCAGGAGGUAUUCCCCGCUUCCUGUAGGUCCGUGGCGGUGGGCGGCGACAGCGACGACAAUGAGGACGACGACGCCGAGGGCGACGGCAACGGCGAUGGCGACGACGAUGAGGAAGCUGAGGAUGACGUAGCAAAUUGAUAUCUUCGGCAGUCCCGCUAUAAGCUCAGCCAUCUUGUCGGUUCGAUUCCUAGCUGUGCUUGAGAAUUGCUUAUGCGUCUCUUCCUCUAUGGUUUUUGAAAAUUCUCUCUUUACCAAUAGUCGUAUCAGUUCGAGUUCCGAAAAAUUUCAUCUUUCUCGUGUCAGAAAACUCUCUCUCUCUCUCUGUGCUCUGCUCUGCUGUUCUAGAUCGAGUAGGUUGCGUCGUGUAUGUUGUCACUGUAUUGAGAGAGAGAUCUGUGUGAGCUACGCAGCAUCUCAUCUCAUCUACCGAUUCGCCUAUCGAGGGUUUAUCCUGGAGGUUAGGAAUUUGCGCGUGCCAGUACGUGGAAUUGGGCAAUGAUUCUUUUCGCGGAUUGUUUGUCUUGAGUAUUGACAUCGCGUAUCUAGCGUUUACUUUCUUGCUUUGCGUGCUUCGCGAUUUUGUUAAAUUGAGAUCCUGUGUUUUCAAUUUCUACUGUUCUAUGGAUUUUUUUUCUGUGGAUUUUUCUCUGUAGAGUGUCAAUUUUCACCAUCUGUUCUGAGCUUUGUUCCUUCGUGAAACCCUAAGUCCUAGCACUCUGGUAGCUGGUCUUCAUAUAUUCCUAAUAUUUUGAAUCUUUGACUGCUUCAAUUUCGCGAAUUUCUUGGGUCCUUCAAGGUAUCCGGGGAUCUCUGCUGGGAAUUUGUGAUUUUUUUGGUCGGAUGAAUUCAGUUCGCAUCAUAUACGGAUUACUUGGAUCUUUUCCAGGUAUUUGACCUUUUGGAAACAGAUUUUCAAAUGCUUCAGCUCGAAAAAAAGAAGGCUUUUAAGUGAAAAGGCAGUCAAAGAUUGAACUGGGUGUUUCUUGUUUGCUUCUCAGAGAAGUGACAAUCACGAGGACGGUCAAAUUUCGUGCUUUCAAGCUUGAUAGAUCUCUAAAUCUAGGAUUCUAAAUCUAAGACCUUGCACUUAAGCCUUGCUUAUUUAAAUGAAUUCGGCAGGAGUUGGGAACUGAGUACCAAGUCAGGCCUGUGGGUCGUCCUGAGGAUGAGGAGGAUGCAAGUGAUUUCGAGCCUGAGGAGAAUGGCGAGGAGGAAGACGCUGACGAAGAGGACGAGGAUGAAGACGAGGACGAUGCUGGUGGUAAGGUCGAGGCUCCACCGAAGAGGAAGCGAUCAGACAAGGACAACUCUGACGACGACAAGGAUGAUGAGAGACCUGCCAAGCGAUAGGCCCAAAGGCUCUUCUCCUUCGUGGGAGAAAAUAUUGGGUACGUCUUAUGUAGCCAGCGUGGCAAACAAGAAGGCGGUGGGAGCGCGACACGUGUCCUCGUGGGACCCAUAAAGUCAGGCGUCUGCUCCUCGACUCAGCGCUUCUUCCUCUCUCCUCUAACUCUCGUCUCGGCUGGUGGCUCGGCUCGGCUGGCAAAAGAAAGGACGUCCUCUCCUCCUGACCUGCACGCUCUCUCUCCUGUCAGAGCAUUUAUUGCGGAAACUUUUCUCUUUCCUUCGUUUGAGAAAGAAAAUGGCCGUUCGUUCCUCUUUCCCUCUCCAUUUCUUUCCUUUCGAAUUUUUGAAUCUGAAAUCCUCUCUCCGCGCUCGUUGUUGCUCCGCCGUGCAUCAAGCGGCCGUUCUCCUGCCAUCACCGACGAACCACAUUACGGCCGCCGCUACUCCGGUGCUCACUCGCUUCUCUCUUCGGGUUCGUUGCUGCUCCGUCAUUCGUUCCGGCGUUCCCGGGAUCGCAGAUGCAGCACGCGGAGGAGAAGCAGGCCUCUUCGAGCUCCCCUCAACGUCGGCGACGUCGCCCGCCAAGCGAGACCCGCACACACGGAAGGCUCGGAGGCGAGGUUGCUGGAGAAGCUGGUGCUGAGCUGCCUCGUCGUGUUCGACACUCCUCCGCCUCCCUCUCGCGACGUCCGCUCUGCUCUCUCUCUCCCCCCCCUCUGCGAAGUCGUGACUCUCUUCCAGCGAAACGCGACGCCAACGGCCCUCCACCUCUGCCGGUUGACUCCGUCGCCCUCGACUCCGACUCCGACUCCGACGCCGACGCCGACGCCGCCUCCUCCCCUGAACCCGACUCUGACGCCGACGCCCCUUCGCCGGUUGCCUCCCUUUCUGUAAGAAAUUCAACAUUGAGCCACGGGCACCUGAGUUUUAUUUUGCUCAGAAGAUAGAUUAUCUCAAAGAUAAGGUUGAGGCAUCUUUUGUGAAGGAGCGAAGAGCAAUGAAGGUAGUAGGAGUGCCAAAUUUAAUUUAUCAAUUGCUCUUUGCAGAUGAUAGUCAAAGUCUUAAUUCUGUUCUUGCUGUGUUUGCAGAGAGAGUAUGAGGAGUUUAAGGUUCGUAUAAAUGCUUUGGUGGCCAAAGCCCAGAAGGUUCCUGAAGAAGGGUGGACGAUGCAGGAUGGAACACCAUGGCCUGGAAAUAACGUCCGUGAUCAUCCUGGCAUGAUUCAGGUAUGCAAAGUUGUCAUUUUCAGUUUUAGAACUCUUUGUUGAUGUGAGAUGAGAUUAACUGCUUAUUUCUGCUAUCUUUAAUAGGUUUUUCUUGGCCAAAGUGGAGGACAUGACUCUGAUGGGAAUGAAUUACCUCGCCUUGUCUAUGUUUCCAGAGAGAAGAGGCCUGGCUAUAAUCACCACAAGAAGGCAGGAGCCAUGAAUGCUUUGGUAAGUGUCAUAAGAAUCCACCUUAGUUGGUAAACCCCCUUUUUUGCUCUCUCCAUUGACCUCUCUGUGAACUUUUGUUUGUCUAACCGGUCAGGGUCUCUGCUGUGCUUACAAAUGCGCCUUAUCUUUUGAAUCUGGAUUGUGAUCACUACUUCAAUAAUAGUAAGGCUAUUAGGGAGGCAAUGUGCUUCAUGAUGGACCCACUUAUUGGAAAAAGAGUGUGCUACGUCCAGUUCCCUCAAAGAUUCGACGGUAUAGAUAGGCACGAUCGAUAUGCCAAUCGGAACACCGUGUUUUUCGAUGUAAGCAUGCAAUUAUCAACCAUUGAAUUGCCUCAUGUCCAUUGCACAUACCAUAUCAUUAAUUCUGUGCAAGAAGAUCUGACGGAGAAAUUUCUCUCUUUCAGAUUAACAUGAAAGGUCUGGAUGGUAUUCAAGGUCCUAUUUACGUUGGGACUGGUUGUGUAUUCAGAAGGCUGGCACUCUAUGGUUAUGAUGCUCCAAAAGCAAAGAAGCCACCGACCAGAACUUGCAACUGCUUGCCAAAGUGGUGCUGUUGUGGGUGCUGUUGCUCUGGGACGAAGAAGAAGAAGAAGAAUACCAAGCCUAAGACCGAACUGAAGAAGAGAUUUUUAAAAAAAAAAGAUGCAGGUACUCCACCACCUUUGGAAGGUAUCGAAGAGGGCAUUGAAGGUGAGAUUCUGCUUUUGCAUGAAGUCCCACUUAAUUGUCUAGUGUUGGUUUACCUUUUUCUAUCAUUGAAUGUGCCUCUCAAUUUUGGCAUCAAUCGGUGAAAUCUUUUUAUUCUUCCAAAAGCUUGUUUUCUAUUGGGUUGCUUCCCAGUUAACAUCUGUUCCAAUUUGGACUUAACCAAUUUUGCUUCCUAUGUCAUGUUUAAGGCUAGUUCUUUUACUUAGUCAUCAAUACAUUCAUGUUUUCUUAUGCAGGAAUUGAAACUGAAAAUCCCACGCCUCAGCAUAAGCUUGAAAAGAAGUUUGGGCAAUCCUCAGUCUUCGUCGCAUCGACAAUGCUAGAGGAUGGAGGAACACUGAAAGGCACGAGCCCUGCAUCUUUGCUAAAAGAAGCUAUCCAUGUCAUCAGCUGCGGCUACGAAGAUAAGACUGAGUGGGGAAAAGAGGUAAGUGUAGUGUAAAUGCUCUCUUCAUGCAAUUCCCCGAAACAAUUAUUGUUUCUCUCAGAGUUGGCUGAACUUUCAUCAUAUACAGGUUGGAUGGAUAUAUGGUUCAGUUACAGAAGAUAUAUUGACGGGCUUUAAAAUGCAUUGCCAUGGAUGGCGUUCCAUCUACUGCAUCCCUGCAAGACCCGCUUUGAAAGGAUCUGCUCCCAUUAAUCUUUCCGAUCGUCUCCACCAGGUCCUUCGUUGGGCUCUUGGUUCCAUUGAGAUCUUCUUAAGCAGGCAUUGUCCCCUUUGGUAUGGUUAUGGAGGCAGUUUGAAAUGGUUAGAGCGAUUAUCUUACAUAAAUGCCACAGUAUACCCCUGGACAUCAAUCCCUCUGUUGGCAUACUGUACUUUGCCUGCUGUGUGCUGCUUGCUUACUGGGAAAUUCAUCACGCCAGAGGUAGGCUAUUAGAUUUUUCUUUUUCUUUCUUUUUCUUUUUUUCAACUAUUGCUUUUAUAUCGUACAAUUGAUGAUAUUCCAGGCAAAAGAUCUUAUAUUGUCUUUGUUUCUUGUCCCCGUUGCAGCUGAGCAAUGUGGCUAGUCUGUGGUUUCUGUCACUUUUCAUUUGCAUUUUCGCGACAAGUAUCCUGGAAAUGCGAUGGAGUGGGGUUGGAACAGAAGAAUGGUGGAGGAACGAACAGUUCUGGGUCAUCGGAGGAGUUUCAGCACAUCUCUUUGCAGUUUUUCAGGGGCUUUUGAAGGUUCUGGCUGGUGUUGACACGAACUUCACUGUGACAUCAAAGGGUGGGGAUGACGAGGAGUUCUCUCAACUCUAUGCGUUCAAAUGGACCACCUUGCUCAUUCCGCCAACCACAUUGCUUAUAAUAAACCUGAUUGGUGUUGUAGCUGGCGUAUCAAACGCAAUAAACAACGGUUACGAGUCCUGGGGUCCUCUCUUCGGAAAGCUAUUCUUUGCCUUCUGGGUGAUUGUCCACUUGUAUCCUUUCCUAAAGGGUCUGCUCGGACGGCAGAACAGGACUCCUACAAUCAUCAUUGUGUGGUCAAUCUUGCUCGCUUCCAUCUUCUCCCUUCUGUGGGUACGUGUCGAUCCAUUCUUGGCCAAGUCGGACGGACCACUUUUGGAAGAAUGCGGGUUGGACUGUAAUUAGCAAGAGUGUCUGAUUCCUGGAACAUUUGGUCAGUAGGAUUUGUUUAUGGGUUAUUUAUCGUAAGGAUACAGAAAGAAUACAUUUGGUGUGGUGCCGUCUGCAAUGCAAAUAAAGGGCAUGUUUGGACGUCACUGUUUCCGCAACUCCGCCUCUCCAUUUGACCGCAACACUCUGAAGGGCUACAAAAACCGACUUUGCUGCUCUUUUGCAACAGCUGGGAGAUUGUCGGAAAGGACUGUGACACUGCUUCUUGAUUCUUUAUUUGGUUCAUAAUUUUUUUCUUUUCUAGGAUGAGGAGGUGGCGUGAACCACAGUAUAAUGUGUAUUAUCAUCUCAUAAUCUCUCUCUCUCCCUCCCUCUCUCUCCCCCUGUGUAAGUGUAACUCAGCCGAAAUUGUGAGCAUGUAUUAUAUACGGGGCAUCGUCCCUCAGUUGAUGCUGCUUAAUGUGGCCAUGCAUGGCGUUUUGCUGUUGGAAGAUCAAAGGGAAAAGUUCAAUUUUCUUUGGCCACAGAAACGGUUUUGAUUGCUUAGAUAUUCAAGAGACCUGACUGUACUUAUUACUACGAGUGCAUUGCAAACCAUGCCAUUUUUUAGAUUCUCCUCAAGAACAAUAGAGCUGCAAAAGUCGGUUGAAAGAUCAAAGGGAAAAUUUUCAAUUUUCUUUGGCCACAGAAACGUUUUUGAUUGCUUACAUAUGUAAGAGACAAGACUGUACAUCUUAUUACUACGAGUGCAUUGCGAACCAUGCCAUUUUUUAGAUUCUCCUCAAGAACAGAAGAGCUGUAAAAGUUCGUUGAAAGAUCAGAGGGAAGAAGUUCAAUUUUCUUUGCCACAGUAGGUGUUGCGACGGUUUUGAUUGGUUGUUACAUAUUUAAGUGACCUGACUUAACAUCUUAUUGCUCCAAGUGCAUUGCAAACCAUUGCCAUUUUUCAGAUUCUCCUCAGGAACAAAAGAGUCUCUGUAACAGUUGGAUGCAGGAAGUUUUAAUGCAAAUCAUCUGUAGACAGAAAGUUUUACACGAUUUGAGCGUCAAUGCAGCAUCAACUUGGAGAUUCAUCUUGGCAUCUGGUGAGACGGGCCAGAACGAUGAUGAGACGCAGGUGACCAAAAUGUUCCAACUCUUCAGCAACAGUAAGAAAAGCAGGAGAGGAGCCCAAAAAAAAAAGUCACAAAAGAGAAUCUAAAGAAAAUUCUGGCUAUUUUCCACACCAUCCCCAACCCCUUUUUUGUAUUGGGCUGGACAUUAUUCUGUAUGAGAAGAGACGUGUAUUAAUCUUUCACUCAACAGAUUUACAAAAAAAUUACUCCUCCCAUUGCCUUGGAGAAGCUGAAUUCUCACAUCCAGUACCAUAAAAUGAAAUCGCCGAGAUCUUCAAAACCCAUACCAAACUUGCUACUGGCCAAAGACCAAAGAAUGCCACAACUGUCAUUUCUAGGCACUGAGGUUUGAAAGCGUCUAGCCAAAGGUGAGAUGAAACUUCCAGGCUAAUCCCCUUGAAUACAUGUGACCAGAGUUUCAGAAGCCUGUCCUGCCAAAAAAGGUCAGUCAUCUCAAAAUCCACUUUGUCAUCAUGAUGCUGGGUUGAGAUGAACAGAUGCAGCUAAUUCUGCUAAUUGUUUCCCGCUGAGAUCAUAAACAAGUUCCAUAGGGAUUAAAUGUUUUGGUUGAUUGCCAAAAUCUUCCUCCUUCAAAUCAUAUACCGCUUGGAGCUUUUGGGCUUCAUAUUCUGCAGCUUUGGCCUCAGCAAGUAAAAUGUCUGCUUCUUCAUGGUCACCCAAUUCCACAGCAGCAGCUCUUUCAGCAUUGGCAGCACUGGCAGUUAUGAGUAACCUCUGGAGUCUAGCCACUGCCAAAUCCCUCUCCCUUAAUAAGAUCUGCUCCUCAGCCUCCUGCAAUUAAUCAACAGUUUCUUUAAUUUCUUCUUCAAGCUUUCCAAGCUUUCAAGCUUGAUUUGUGUUCCUUCCUUCUCAUUGCUCAACGACUUUGCUUCAGCAGCUAUUCGUGUAGCUUCUUUGAAAUUUCUUGCAGCAGCAGCAACCUUUUUCUCAGUCUCUAGUUCUGGAAGUCUCUUGUCCACAUAAAGUAUCCUCUGCUCAAAUGAAGCUAUCUCCUGUUGGAGGCUGGACUUAUUUGAAGACAGUUCCUAUGAUCAAAAGACAAGAAUCUAAUCAAAUGAUGCGUUGAAGAGCCAAAUAAAUUUUGAGUAUUCAGUUUUUGAAUUUUCGUCCUGAAGCUAUAGCUAAAGAACAUGCUUAACACAAUACCCUGACCACUAGACUGGACAAAAAAUUCAGAUAAAGGUCUCCUGACACAACAUUGGAGUUCACUGCAAGAUUUGAAAUCUGAUCAAAUUCUGCUUUUGCUUAUACUCUCCUGUUGCUCCCUCUUUUGCUUAUUGUUUCCUAUUUCUCCUGUUACAGUACUCCAGCUCUACAAUAGUUUGAUUUCAUGAUUACAUCCACUGUCUCACUCGCAAGCUAUAGCUUUUCUGUGAGGGGAAACAGUAGAUCUCAACAUACAUUGUCUUCAUAUCCCUAGUUGCCUAAACUUUUAAGAUUAAGGCUUCCCUAACAAAUACGUCGCAUCUCUUAUUUUCACCAAAAAAAAAAAACAAAUACGUCGCAUAAACAAACUUUUGAAAGAAAGUAGGAGUCACUCACUGCCUGUGUCUUUAGAAUAUUCCUUCAGCAAGUAUAUCUUAACCAUGAACCAACACUCAUCCUAGGUUGGAUAAUCAAACAUGAACCUCAAGCAUUACUGAUUCAGAAGACUGGAAGUAAAUUCUCCAAAAUGUUGCAACAUGUAGACUCCAUAGGCCAGAAUUAUAGUAGAUUAAGCAUGUGAAGCUUAACCACCUUUUAGGUAUAUGUCGUUUGCAUGUAAAGAGUAAGAUAGCUAAAAAGUAAAAUAACCUGUAAAGAAGCUCUUGCAGAGGAAGCUUCUUGUUGGAGCCUCAUGACAUCUUCAGAAAAUUUCUCCUCAGUCUUCAUCAGCCCCAGUUUACUUUCUCUGUACUCCAAAAUGCAGAGCAUUAAACCUUUUCUCAAUCCUGCUGCUUCAUUGUAUGCUUUUGCUUCAUCUGCAGCAAUCUUCCCAAGUUCCCUAAUCUUUGCUCCUUUAUUAUCUUCCUGAGAGAGUACGUCAUCAAUAUCUUUCUUUUUUAUAGAUAAAGCUUCACUUUCGGCAUCAACCUGAGAGAGCUUUGAUUUCAUUCUAUCAUAUUUAGCACCAAUAUCUGAUUGCAUGUCCUGAAAUCCAGAGACCACACCAGCAAUGUGCUUCUCUACUGCUUCAAUGGAAGCAUCAUUCUCAGCAAUUUGCUUCUCCUUCUCUCUCACUAAAUUAAGCAGCUUCUCCAAUUCAUCCAACAACACAUCCUUCUUCUUAAGAAGUUUUUCUUUCUCUCUACUGUCAUCAUCAAUUGAAUGCUCGAUGGAAACAUUCACUCCUUUACGAGCUUCACUUAUCAGAUAUGACUCGAUUUCAAGUUCCAUCUUCCUCACCUCCAAAUCUUCACUUGAUGAAAGCCAUUUGUCCAUUUCCUCAGCACGCAGUAAGUUUGCCUUCUUCUCUAUCAGGUCAGCACUAGCAGUUGCAUCCUGCAGGAUAAGAGGUAAAAAUGUCAGUCAUUCUGCUUCAAACUAAAUUUGGCUACCACAUGAAAUCGAUAGCUUACGAGAAAGCUUUUCGUGGUACGCAUGAUCCAACCUCAUGUUUUGUAGGGACAGAUGAAACAGUUAAUGAAAAAGUUCAGAGAGAGAUAGCACGGCUAUCCUUAAAACAGUCACUAUCCAAAAGUCUACUUGGAUUGGCAAAACAGAGACUACCAUGGGAUCAAUAUGACUUGCUGAAAGCUUUUAGUUUACCUUACAUCAAGUCAAUUAAAACCAUGGCUAUCUCAAAAUAAAAAACUAGGGCUACAAUUGUGCGCAAGGGCACACCAAUGACACCACACAUGCAGUGCACCCACUACCAUGCCUAUAAUCUACCAUAACCUAACAAUGGUCAAGAGACAUUCUUGUUUUCCAUUCAUUUUCCUUGAAGCACUUUGACAAAACUAGUCUUUCCAUGUUCACCUUGAGAACCCGACUGCCAAUUGAAAGAUGAAAAUUGACAAACGACUUCCUUCACUCAACAGGGGCAGCUAAGCACAAGCAUGAAUAUAAAGAACAUCCAGUCAGGAAGGCUUGUACCAUUACACACGCAAGUUUAUAAAGACAGAGAGAAAACCAGAAACGUGUAUCAAUCUGCUCCAGCCAAUGAUUGUGUUGCCCUGUGGUGCGAAGUUCUUACUAUAGAGCUCACUCUAUCUUAAUUCAUUCUAGGAUCAAGCAUUAGUGUAGCCAAAAAAAAGAAAAGAUGUUGUCACUGACCUUAGAGAAAUUCUCCAACAGAGAAACACACUCAUCCUCAGCAGCAAUCUGUGCAUUCAAAACCUCCUGCAUCUUCGCAUCAAUAGCAUCGCAUUCAGCUUCACUAGCUCUAAGUGCAUCCACCAAAGCUUGUCUCUCCUUUUCGGCAGCAGCAAAAGGAAAUAACUGAAUAAGUAAUGUUGGGUCGGCAUCACCAUUUUCUGCGAUGCAUGGACUUGGCGAAGGGGCAUCGGCGUCGGCGUCGGCGUCAGGCACAUAGGCGGAGGCCGAGGCGUCGGCGUCGGGGGCGACGGACUCCGACGCCGACGGAGGCAACCGGCGAAGGGGCGUCGGCGUCAGAGUCGGGUUCAGGGGAGGAGGCGGCGUCGGCGUCGGCGUCGGAGUCGGAGUCGGAGUCGAGGGCGACGGAGUCAACCGGCAGAGGUGGAGGGCCGUCGGCGUCGCGUUUCGCUGGAAGAGAGUCACGACUUCGCAGAGGGGGGGGAGAGAGAGAGCAGAGCGGACGUCGCGAGAGGGAGGCGGAGGAGCGUCGAACACGACGAGGCAGCUCAGCACCAGCUUCUCCAGCAACCUCGCCUCCGAGCCUUCCGUGUGUGCGGGUCUCGCUUGGCGGGCGACGUCGCCGACGUUGAGGGGAGCUCGAAGAGGCCUGCUUCUCCUCCGCGUGCUGCAUCUGCGAUCCCGGGAACGCCGGAACGAAUGACGGAGCAGCAACGAACCCGAAGAGAGAAGCGAGUGAGCACCGGAGUAGCGGCGGCCGUAAUGUGGUUCGUCGGUGAUGGCAGGAGAACGGCCGCUUGAUGCACGGCGGAGCAACAACGAGCGCGGAGAGAGGAUUUCAGAUUCAAAAAUUCGAAAGGAAAGAAAUGGAGAGGGAAAGAGGAACGAACGGCCAUUUUCUUUCUCAAACGAAGGAAAGAGAAAAGUUUCCGCAAUAAAUGCUCUGACAGGAGAGAGAGCGUGCAGGUCAGGAGGAGAGGACGUCCUUUCUUUUGCCAGCCGAGCCGAGCCACCAGCCGAGACGAGAGUUAGAGGAGAGAGGAAGAAGUGCUGAGUCGAGGAGCAGACGCCUGACUUUAUGGGUCCCACGCUGGCUACAUAAGACGUACCCAAUAUUUUCUCCCCUUCGUGGUCUGAGCAAUGACUUUGACAUAUUGACUCUAUUUUCUCUCUCAAAACCCGAUCCUCUUUGCAGCAGGAAAAAAAAGAUAGCUGGUUUUCAAUUGGAGUAAGCUUUUCUUUUGGGUCGUUUGUUUAUCCUGAAAGUGCAUUAGGAUUAAGAGCAUAACUCUUUGUACUGUCGAUGCAUAGUCCGCACGGGGUUUCAACAAACUGUGUUGCAACAGCUGAUUUAGACCAGUGGCCCCGUGGGGAGUUAGGAGAUUCGGGAACAUUUCAUUGGACACAGUCAUGUUUUGUAGGUUUCUAUAAUUAAGAGUUCUCUGGUUAGGGUCUUUAAUCCUCAUUUUUAUGCGGUCUUUGAAUCUUUCGGCAUGUCUAUCUCAACACCCAUCUUCCCAGUUCCUUUCUUUCUCGUCUUUUUGGCCAUUUUCUCAGUUCAUUAGAUGCAUGUGAUUUGGCAAAAGCUCAACUUGGAUGGUCGGGGUCUCCUUUUCUUUUUCAACUGAGUGUGUUCCAAGCAGAUGUGCCAUCCCUUUGAGGUGAUUCGUUCAAGACGACCACAAGUGAUGAGUGUUCUUAAGUUUCUCGUCUCAUGCUUUCAUUACAAUGAGUUCUCCCCGGGAAGCGGGAGAAUUGUCCAAAAAGUCUUAAACCUAUUGCAGUUUUGUCAAUUCAGUCUUAAACCUUUCAAUCUUACCGAUUGAGUCCUAAACUUUUUGUCGGUUUGCCAAUUGAGUCAAUCCGGCCAAUUUUGGCCGGAAAAUGUUGAUGUGAACGUCAGUGGUGCCACGUAAGACUGUUGGCGCUAACAUGGAUAUUUUUUAAUAAUAUUUUUAUUUUUAUUUUGAUUUUUUUAAAUAUUUUCUGUUUUUUCCUUUUUUUUCUUUUUGGCUUUUCCUUUGCCCUUUUCCGGUGGCCAACCACCGGCCAUCGACCACAACCAGCCGGCUAGCCUCGCCCGCCACAGGCGAGGCCCGACCGAGCGACGGCAACGCCAGGCGAGGCUAGUCUUGGCCCCGGCGAGGGCCGACCUCGCCAGAUCUGGUCUGGGUAAGGCCGAUGCUCGCCUGGGCCAGGGAAAGCCUCGGCAAGGGCUCCCCUCGCUCGACGUUGCCGUCACCCGGUCGAGCCUUGCUUGUGGCGAGCGAGGGGAGCCCUCGCUGAGGCUCACCCUCGCCCAGGCAAGUGUCAACCUGUGGCCGGUGGCCAGCCAUCACUUGCUCGACUAGGGGUGAGGCGACGCUCGCCUGGGCGAGGGCUAGCCCCGGCGAGGGCGAGCCCCGGUGAGGGCUCCCCUCGCUAGGGCUGGCCUUGCCCGGCGUCGCCGUUGCUGUCGCCCAGCCGGGCCUUGCCUGUGGCGGGCGAGGCCAGCCCUGUGGCCAGUGGCCGGCCAUCGCCUAUGGCUAGUGGCCGGCCACCGGAAAAGGGCAAGGGAAAAGCCAAAAAGAAAAAAAAAAAAAACAAGGAAAAAAAGAAAAUAUAAAAAAAUCAAUUUUUAAAAAAAAUAUUAAAAUGUUAUUAAAAAAAUGUCCACAUCAGCGCUGGUAGUCUUAUGUGGCACCGCCGAAGCCACGUCAACAUUUUCCGGUCAAAAUUGGCCGGAUUGACUCAAUUGGCAAACCGACAAAAGUUUAGGACUCAAUCGGUAAGAUUGAAAGGUUUAGGAUUGAAUUUGCAAAACUGUAAUAGGUUUAGGACUUUUUAGACAAUUUUCUCCCGGGAAGGAGCAAGGGCAUUGGGCCAUCUUCCUCUUUUCAAACGAAGGUGAACCUACAGAGAGCUUUUGCAAGCCCGGUGGAAGUUAUAUUUUCUUAAGUGAUGAUCAACGGAUGAAUUCGACAUGCGAACAAUGAUUGACCAAGUAAGGUCGAGUUCGGGUCGGUUUUUAGGAUGGUUGUCCAGUACUGAACCUGGUUACUUCCUUGCACGUAUAUCCCUGACCAAGUUGCGAAUCUCCUUACUGAUGCAACCCCAUUUCUAACUCCAUACCUACUUACCAAAGGUUCGACUUUCGACCUUCACAAUGGUUUAUGUUUUCCUCCUCCAUCAUUCGAUAGUUUGAAUAAAGGAGGCCCAACCACAUGAACCUUUCAAGUACAAAACGUGUUAUCGAGUCUAGUGACUACAGAUUUGCACUGGCCGCGAUUCCUUCAGCAUAUAGCCUAUAUGAUGGACUACGAAAGUAGAGCAUGAGCAAAUUGGGUUGGGGGGGUUACAUUCGCAUAUGCAUAUAAAGGGGCAACCCUCUCCACAUGAAAGAGAAAGAACUGCAGAGAACAUCUCCCUCCGAUUGAAAUGCCCAUAUUUAUACGUUUACAAACGCAAAUACAAGUCUUUCCACAGCAACACUAGUACACAGAGGAACCGAUUGACAUAAAAACUACUUAUAGUAUUUUCCCCGUUACAAACACGUGUAAUUCAUGUAUAACACUGUCCGUAAGUAACAGCGAAAAAUGAGUAAACACAAGUGAGACAUACCAACCUAGCAGUAGCACAUGAUACCACUGCGCUGCCACAUUUAUCCUUUGCAAUAGCAAUAAGCAGCGAACAACAGAUCGGCACAGCAUCACCUUUGCAACUGGAAGCAUCUCGUCCGUCAUUCAUAGCCAAACAACAAAAGCUUUUCACAAUGGAAGUGCCGAUCAGGAGAGUCUGAGUCUUCCAAAAUUAACCCUCGUGUCAGCUCCAAAAUCAAUGCUAUUCAUUUCUUCUUCUUCAUUUUCCUACCUGUUCCAAUACUUAUCCCAAAUGUCCGAGGCUUUUUUGUUAAUCUCUAUGUUCCCGUGAAUCUGGAGACCCAUGAUUUUCUCCAACCCCUCACAUUCUUCAAUCAUGUCCAUGACCAGUUCUCUGAUAGUUUCACCGCUCUCUAGAAUGCGUUCCACACCAUCUAGGCACACUCCUAUGAUCUCAGGGUCGGGGCAAAUAAGGAGAUCGCAGAGCGGCUUGAUAAAACCCUGGUUCACCAAGUAUCUGCAAAAACGACAAAGGUCAGAGUUCUGUGGAUCAUGUUGAAGUGUUCAAUGAAAAGCUCACACUUCCAUCUAUUGAUAUAAAUCUCUAAGCUGAUCAGUUGCAGUUGGAUAAUUCAAUUUGAUAUCAUCUAAACACCCCCCCCCCCUCCCCAACACCCCAAACUACUGUCACUGUCACUGUCACUUCAUAUUUCGACACUUCUAGAUUUGAUUUAGUACCAGCAUGUGCGUGAGAGAGGGCUUUGAAGUUUUUGGACAUUGAACACCCCCACAAUCCGCUUGCUUAAUGGAUGGAUCCAUUAUCAUCUCCAACAACACAUUACUACAUAAUACAUUUAACAACUGAAAUAAAUACUGCACUUUAUCAGUAAACAAUUUUUCAUCGAAAUGAACUGCCGAUGAUUUUUUGUCCGGUGAGACUUUCCUUUUCUUCAUUACUCUGCAAGUGCAGUCAACAUGAAAUGGAAUUGCAUUCCCUGCUUCUUCAAAUCCUUGCAGGUAAGAGGAUGAAACAAACCUAGACAAACCAUAUGACAAGAGGAACACGAAAAGAAUGACGAUCUCCAGUAAUUGACCAUUAAGUUUAGACAUGGACAUGAGCUACGGAUGUUUAAUUCUCUUGAGCUAUAAAAAAUGAAUCCAGAGGGAACAGUAUGGGUAUGAUUUCCAUCUUUUGGGUGAUAACCAGCGCAAGGUUCCACAUGUUGUGUUGGAGCAGAGUAAUGUAGAUAGAGACAUAUCGAAUUUGUUCAUGGGACCCACCACAGAUGGCAUUUGAAAUAGCCCAUGCAGCCUCUUUCUUUAUUUUGAAUUGGGCACGUUGAAGAAGGCUCACAACAGGAGGAAUGAAGUUUGCUUCAAUUACAGCCUGAAAAGGACAAUAAAACUGUUUUUACAAGAUUGUCAAAGCAUGUAACCUAUGGAAACAUCUCUUAAGAGAUCAAUUUCAUAAUUGAAAUGCUAUAUCAGAUAAGCAAAAGCUCCUCCCUAAUAAUUCAAAAAAAAAAAACAAAAGGAGUGAACGUAAUUCUGGUAUUCAAUCUUGAAGUGAAUUUUGGAAAUACAUCAGAAGUUCAUUAUCACGAAAAACAAAAGUGAACAAUUGCUGCGUUGAAGGUGAGACUACUCUGUUUAGGGAGAAGAGACAAGGUGCCAUCAAUUAUAGAAACAUUCACCCAGGAAUUCAGGAUAAUGGCAGGGCAGCAAUUUAGUACAGCACAAAUGAGCAAAAGCAACUACGAUAAGGUCUUAACAAACACUUCUUUCAUACUCAAUGCUCAAUACAAUAUAUUGUACUAUCAUUGAACAGAGGUAUUACCUGAAUUUGAUUUCUAUUACCCGCCGCAAUAUUUGCAAUUACCCAACAAGCUUCUUCCUUGACACUCCUAUCCCAAUUUUCAGUCAGAAUUUGACAUAAAGGAAGCAGUCCUUGAUUGUCAAUUCCAAACUGCAACCGAAAACCAAGUGUUGACACCUAAAUUUUGAUGACCCAUUUAAUUAUUUAUCAUAUUAAAAAAUUAGGGAUUAAUUUUAACCCCUAAAAAAAUAUUAGUUAAUUAAUUAAUUGCAUAGCAUAUAGUUUUAGGUGCAUUUAUUUUAAUUUGCAUUUACAUUGGGCCGGUGACAAAUGGGUUCAAAUUAAUGGUUCAGAAUAUUAAUUUGGUGAAUUGGACUAAGCCCACAAAGGGAGUAAAUUGGCCUAAGCCCGUAUCCUCGGAAAGAUUUUACGGAUUGAGAUUUUACGGAUUGAUUUAUGCGAGAUUUCAAAUUUUAAAAGAAUCCUCUUGCAAUCCCAAAUCGUAUCAAAAGCAAAUAUUACAUUUGGAAAAAGGAAUUUUCGUGGAUAUGGAUUUGGAAAAAUUAAAACCCUAACUCGUGGUCUAUAAAUAGAUUAAAUGCGUAGGGUUUAGAGGAGGAGGCCACACAUUGAAUAUACGGCCACAAUAUAGAAAGCAUACGUGAAGGAGAGGGAACGUGAGGGGAAAGAGGCUGGCUUUCUCUUUGCAAUGGCUCGUUGAAGCUUCCUCGUAGCAUCUCGGCGCAAUCUUUAGCAAAUCUCUACCACAUUAAACAAGCCUUCGAGCCAGCAUUGGAGUUCCAGCAGUCGUAUGAGUUUCCCAAAGAUAGUCCAGCAACCUCCAGGUGAACAUCCAGCGAGCCAGCUCCAAGGUGUCCUUGGCAGGUUUUCAGCAAGAUUCCCGCCACGACUAGCCUUAGUCGUGCCUCAUCAAGCAGCUGCAGGGUUUCUCGAGGGACGUCAAUAAUCUCAGUCGAGAAUUCCAUCCUCUGGUCACGUGUUCAAGUUCCAAUCGACGCCGAUCCCGGAGCCUUACCAAGCGAAGUUUCUUAGACGAUUACCUGGUCUUCUCGGAAUACCUAAUAGAGACGUCCACGAGAUAAACCCGGAGAGAGGCUCGUGCUUUCACUUCUCUACUGCACCCAUUCACAAAGUCCACGCAUGAAGAGAUAGGAGAAAAAUCGGGGCAUAGAUAUUCUCAGUAAAAAAGGGGUGGUCAACUUUGAGAGGGAUUUGAUUGUGUUUCAUAAAAAUUGAGGACUAAGCUGGAGUAGUCCCUGCACGAACAUCUUCUUUGGCCCACCGCUUCGGGAGGUUUCUAAAGCGGUCCCAAGUUGAUCACCAAGAUGUGAGCAGCCGCGUCUCUACCCCAUCAACGACCAGCCGCAGAGCCAUUGAACAUCGCAAAUCACCUGUGAACCACCACAGCCACUGACCUUGAGUCGUGCCGCCCCGAACCUCCGUUGCAGCCCAAUCCAUCACCGAGGACGUUCCUUUCACGGCCACCCAAGAUUCCUAAGUCGUUGUUCUGGCCAUCAUUGGUGAAUCACUCCAAUAGACUUAAAUCUCAACGGCGAAGCUGAGAGUGCUAGUAUGAACAAAAUAAAUGAGUUAGGGAAGAGAAUAAGAACACAAGAUUUAUAGUGGUUCGGCUUAUUCCAAGCCUACGUCCACUCUCCCACGCUAACAGCCUUCUUGGCUGGAUUCCAAUAUGCAAUCAACAAGAGAUUACAACUUCGAGUGCAAACACUUAGUAGUAGAUCCCACUAUCUCACUAAGUCACUCUUUUGGUAUUUCUCUCACGAUUACAAACGUUUAAGCUCUCAAGAGACAAGUAUAUGAUCAAAAGUCGCUCAGACUUUGGAAUUAUAAAUUCUACGCUCCGUCUCUUACUUGCUCAUCGGUCCAUGAUCUCCUUAAAUACUCCUCCACUUCCAAACUACCCGUUGGACAGUAUCCCGGAGAAUUGUCUUCCAAUAUACCCAUUGGACAGCUCUGUAUCUAGAAGAUUUGGUAGCCGUUGAGUGACAAAGGUAAAAUCCCAAAUUGAUUCCGAUCGCCCAUACAAACGAAAUCUUGGUUUCUAUAAGUAAAGCUUCUUCGUAUAGAAAGUUCUUGUCUUCAAGAUCCAAUUGUCAAUCAAUUAGAUUGAAUCAAUCAAAUCAAUCUUGAUGUGGAAUCCAAACCAGAUCACUAGCCGUUGUAUGAUUGGGCUUGAGUUACAAUUCAUUGAAUCUGGAUGUAAAGUCUGAGUCUGUAGACUUUACAAUAUGAGUCUCUAGACUUUACAAUCUGGGUCUGAACAUAUCUGCUUCUGAACAGAUUUAGCUUUAAGGUCUGUACCCAGUUCAACUUCAGUAUAGAGUCUGUCUUCUGGUUCAGCAUUCACGUUCAGUCUGGAAUUUGUCAGAGUGAGCAGACUUCUGAUGUAGAACAGACUUUGACACUAAAGUCUGGCAGUCUUCAGACUUUGAGUCUUGAGUCUGGCAGUCUUCAGACUUUGACACAGAAGUCUGGAAAUCUUCAGAAUAUAUUUUGGACAUGUGUUACGUUCAGUCUUCUGGUCGUCUUCUGACUUUGAUAAUAUCCUCUACAUGUUCUAACAUCUGCAUGGUCUAUUACUCAACCAUCAAACAUGUUAGUAGCCUUUGAUUUAUUUUGUCAUCUUCAAAACAUCAUAAGGGAUUUCCUUAACAGAAGCAGCCACGCCUUGCACAAGUCUUUCCUUGGAGGUUGAAAAUUUAAGUGUGGAUUUUAGAAGGUCAAAGUUUGACAAUCAAUGGGAUUGUCAGAAGGCUAGUGGAUUUCCCUGCGUCACCAAAUUCCACAAAACCAGCAUUGGGAGACCAAGAUUCGCCGUCCAUCGAGGAGUCCCUUGCCGAGCUUACAAAUUUUUGUUUCGCAGGUCUUGUGGAGCUCAUCGGGUGAUUUUCGAGCAACCGAGCACCACCACGUUGCAUCGCGAGUAGCCAUUCGAGGAUCGGAAUUUGGAAACCAAUAUUCGAGUUAGGUGAAAAUCUUAUCUAUUUUGAUUUUUCGAAAAUUCCAUUACCUUAUUUGGGAUAUUUGUCGAUGCAUAUAAUUGAAAUUCCCGAUAUGACAUGAUAUUCGCAACUCGAGUAGCUUCCUGAAUUAGGAAAUUUUCCUAAUUUCGCAACGUGCGUAUGAUUGACAGUCCGAUUUCAUGCUCGAAAUAUGACCAGUAAUCGCACGGAAAAAUCACCAAUCCAAUCUCACGCUCGAGAUACGAUUAGUGAUUUUGUCUAAAAUUGGCCAAUCCGAUCUCUUGUGCGAGAUAUGAUUCGUCAAUUUAUUUCCAAAAUUAAAUGGACAUGGAUGAUAUUUUGCUGGAUUUGUUGCCGUGUUGUUCUUGAUGCCUUUAUUUGUUUGCUCCCAUAAAAGAAAAAAAAACAUUUGAGUUAGAUUAGAUGCAUCUUAGGAUAUUACUUGUUUUAGGGUUAUUUUGCAUGUCUAGAAUAAGAGAUUUACUUAUUUCGAAUUUCAAAAAUAAAAAAAUCAAAAAUCAAAAAUCAAAUCAAUCAAUUUAGGUUGCUAGUUUUUUUACUUAGGUUGCAUGUUUAAUAAUUUGACAAUUCUUAAUUUCGAAAUUAAUAAAACAAAAACAAAAAGGGUUAUCAUGCAUAUGUCAUGUAGAAUAAAUGCAUUCUUUGCACGUCAUUGCAUAUUAGGAUAAAAUUUCAUGUUUCAUUUUAAGUUUAGAUAUUAGAUAGAUUGCAUUUUAGGACUAUUUGGGUUAAGAUAAUAUUUUAGUUUAAAUUAGGAUUUGGCUUAACCUAAUUCCUAAUGCAAAUUAAAUAGAAUCUUAAUCUAGUUAGACAAUUUUCACAUUUUUCCUAAUUCCGAAUUUCAUGAAAAAUAAAAAAAUGUCUUAGAAUAAAUUAGUUCCAUUCUUUAGAAUAAAUUGCAUGCUUAUUAGGAAAAUAAAAACCAUGUGCACAUCAUAUAGAAUUAGGUUCAUACAAUGCACGUCAUUUAGUGAUUUUUGUUAGGUUCAUUUAAUUAGAAAUUACAUGUCAUUGGAAUUAGGUCAUUUAGUUAAUAUUGCAUUGCAUAUUUAAAUGUUGCAUUUCUUUAAUUUCGAAUCCCAUAGAAAAUACAAAAAAAUGAUUUAGAAUAAAUCAUCUCAUGCUUAGAAUAGACUACAUGCUUAUUUAUGUCAUAUCGCUUAGGUCAUAUAGCUAAGUCAUGUUGCUAUGUCAUAUCAUUUCAUGUUAAAUUAGUGGCAUGCAUUGCAUAAAGCAUGAUUCUCAUUAAUUAAGUGAAAACAAAACAAAAAUUGCGUGUUAAUUAGAAACCAUAUCUAAGGUUGUUGAUGUGGAUUUUAAUUUAACAUUGCAGAUGCUUUCGUUGCUUUGAGGUAAGUCCUGCAAUUUAUUUUUUGCUUUACUUGAGUGUUAAAUUGGUGGUUUGCGCACCUGCAUGAACACCUCACAUGUUAGGGAAUUAGUUUAAAAUCAAUCCAAACUCCUUGCCAAACAUUUUUCAAAAUUAAAAGAAUGGUACCGAAAGGGCAUUAAAGAAAUCUAGUGUAACCAAGUCCCCGUACCCAUAAUCUCUGGUUCGUAGAAGUAAAAUAAUUCUAGUGUCUAAUCGACCUACCAUAAAUUGAUUAGUGGCGACUCCUAAUUGAAAAUCAAUUGCAUAUUAAAAACUUGAAUCUAAGUCGCGAAUUGGUAUGGGCUUGGGAAAGCCCGCGUUAAGUCUAGGCUUAACAAUCCAUUAGCCAAACCCUAGGUGGUUCACACCUCGAAAAAAAUUGGUCGCGACACCAAGUCUUCAGGUAAGGAUGAAAGAAGCUCGGUUUAAUCUUGGAAAGUAUCUACGAAUCCCAAGACAAAAUAAACAAGUCAAAAACAUCAGUUACAUGAACGCAGUUACUUCAAGUACAGAGAUAAUGGGAGAUGCACAUUUUGCUGCUCGGAAUCUAAAAGACCUAAUGACUUCAAAAGACUGAACUACGUUUAUUAGUUUCAGUCUUAUAAAGGGGACGGAAAGACCUGAGUCUGAGCCUCGUUGCCCGACACAAUGUUCCCCAGUCUUUAAGAGUCGGCACCUGGACUUCAGGUGAUGCACACCUGCAAAAGGAACCACAUAGGAAAAGAAACUGAAUCGGUGCCAAAAAAUAAAAUGAUCCGCUUAAAACAAAGUUUGACAGCACAAUCAGUGAAAUAUCCACCCUAGUGUCGCUUUGUCUAUACCAAGAUCCAAUCAGUAUUCAUGAAGCUUAAGUAAAACCAAUUAACAAAAUCUUUUCAGCCAGUGAAGUAUGCUUAACUAAGAGCACAAAUGGUUCGAUUGUUUUUUUUGGUAAAAGGUAAGAAGUAUUAUAGCUAGAGAACCAAGGAGCUAUACAAAAAGCACAGCAACACAGUCAAAUGGUUCGAUUGUUUUACUAUGCUCCUUUCACAAAUCGGUCUUCUGUAUUUGCAUGCCCAGACUAGAAAUAUAUGCAGCAAACCCGAUAUUCUUUCACCAUGCUAGACAACGCAUAUAUUUCAUCUUACACGAGAAGUUCUAGAAGCCGUGGCCAAACUCCUGCUUCAAUCACAGACUGGAUAUUAUGAUCUGAGCCAUCACAAAUAUAAGACAGAGUCCAGCACGUGUCAAUCAAUACUUCUCCAUCUUCUGAAUUAAUGAGGCACCUGAGGGUAGGCAAGGCCAGAUUGACCUAAAGGCAGCAAAGACAAAUCAUAAUCCUCCAAAAAUACUAAUAUACUAUUUUAGAAUUCUGAAAGACAGGAUCGGAAAUUUUAAUCGUUAAAUUAUAUGACUCAAGUUCACAUUCAAUUCAAAAGUAUAAGAUGAUUCAACUCUAAGGUGUUGGAGCAGAAUCCUUUCAUCUCAGUCAUGAUUCUUUCACAACUUGGUUCAGUUUACAAUUGAAGCACAGGGACUCAAUCAUAUGGUGCAAUCCCCUGAAGAGCCUCACCAACCUUUGUGGUUUGGCUCAUUCUAACAACUUAAAAAUGUGCUGACUAAAAUUUAAAUCGCAUGUGAUUCUAACUUGAAAUUCAACAAUUAAAUCAGCUAAGCCACUCGAUUGGGACUUAAAACCUCAUAAUAGACAUACUAAUACAUUAGGUAUAAAAGUUAGAUUUUGAUAAUUUACCUUGUGAUCCAUGAACCGAGAAGCAACAUUUCUUUUCCUUCCCUCAAUCCUCAUAAAGUCUAUUAGAACAAUAUAACUUCUCCAAUCUUUUUUUGAACAAUCGAAAGUCAUAACAGGAUCAACAUCAUUACAUUUCUCAGCCAAGGGAGACACCACUCGGAUCUACUUUGUGUUUGUGCGUGUGCAUGCAUGUGUGUGUGAGAGAGAACUUAUGGGUAACGAAAGAACUGCAUUUUGACAACUUCCCGUUUUACCUUUAAAUGACAAUUGAUUCUCAUCAAGUUUCAUUAAACUUGUUACAUUUAAUUUAUUUUCACGAAUCCCAAAAUGUGCAGUUUUGAGGAGCUAAGCUUCCUUAUUCAGCUAGUCUAGAUCUCAUCAGUGAAUCUUAUGGUCCACAACUCAGUUUGAUGAAAAACGUGAUUUGCCACUGAUGUUUCAGAGCUCAUUUUGAUGACUACAGAAAUUACAAACGAUUCCUUUCCUGUUCAAAUGGAGGCAGAGGCUUCCAACUGUAUAAGUUGGAUAAAAUCCAAGCAAUGCUCUUCAUCAGGGGCAAUCCUGGAUGUUUAUCCAAUUGAGCCAAUAGUGGGACUAGAGCGCCUCCACUUAAUACAUGAUCCCUGCAAUUUGGUGAGUCACCAGCAAUAUUUGCCAGUGCCCAGACAGCCUGCUUGAUUCAUGGGAAUCUAGGUUAGAUAAUCUCAUCCAUCAUAUUUACCAAUUUGUUUUAAGAAAUCAACUCAAAGAAUUGUCACGAGAAAAAACAAAAGACCCAACCUGUUCUCGAGCAUCAGCAAACGUAGAGCGAAGAAGUUGCACGAAUUUAUGGAUAGAUCCGAGUUGGAUGAUGAGUCGUACGUGAUCUGAUGUCCCAGAAGCUAUAUUGGCCAACGCCCAUGCAGCCUCAGACUGAAGAUGAAGAAAGAUUAUGACAUGAUGGCAAAUGAUUUCCUUUUGCCUGCAAAAAUCUAAGAUCUCAGUGAAAGAACAUUGAUAAAAACUAAAAGGACCAUACUUGUAGUAGAGGAAAAGCGCUCUCAUCAAGGAACUCCACGAGUCGAGGGACAACUCCUGCUCCGACAACCGCAUUGAUUGGAGGGCUCUCACCUUCGCAUAUAUAUGAUUCGUCAUUGAUCAUGCAAACAUUCCAAUAACAAUCAGGCUAAAGGAAAACAAUUAAAGGAGGAGGGACAGAGGGCUUUGAAAUUACCAGUCGAUAAUAACUCCCCGAUCAGUGUGGUUCCUUUUCAAUGCUGGGAAGAAUCAUCUGAUUGAAUCAUUGGCAGAAGAUCUUCCAAUUGCCAUAAAAACUUAUAAAAACUUAUCAGAAAUGAUUAUUUUUUAUUUUGUUCCGGAGAACUGAUUUUAAGCAUUUUAAGGGUGCGUUUGGGAAAACUUUUGGAGAAAGUCUUUGAGAAAAUAUAAAGGCCUUUGAGCUAAAAGGAUUUUUGGAAAUGCAAAUUGUAUUUGAUAAAUCGUAUUUGUGAAAGUCCAUUGUAAAGUAUAUUUGAGCAAAAUAGCGUUUGGACAAAUUAACUUUGCAAAAGACUUUUAUUAUUAAAAAAAAAGGAAAAAAAUGAGAAUUGGUUGGUUAUCGCCGGUGAGGGGUAGGCGGUCCGGUGAGGGAUAGGCAGGCGGUCUGGCGAGGGGCAGGCAGCCGGCUAGGGUCGCUGCGACUAGAUCGAGUGGCCGAUCUAGGUCACAGCGACCCUCGCCGGAACGUCGCACAACCCGCCGCACCACGACCUCCGUGUGGAGGUGGCUAGGGCCGCUCGAUCUGGUCGUGGCGACCCCGAUCGCAACCAGAUCAUCACAACCAGAUCGCGCAAUCUCAAUCGCACGAUUUGGGCUGCCGGAGGUCGCGCGACCCAGAUCGGUCGUGGCAACCUCCGGUGACCCAGAUCUGUGUGCGAUUUAUGUCGCCGGAGGUCGCGCGGCCCGGAUCUGGGUCGCGGCGACCUUCGGUGACCCAGAUCUGCCGGGGGUUGCAGUGUUGCCGGGGUUGCAGCGAUCUGCAACCCAGAUCUGGAUGGUUGCCGGGAGUUGCAGCGGUCGCAGCGACGCGAAGCGACUCACAGGGGGUCGCCGAGGUCAUGCGACUGGCCGCCGACGAUCGCCGUGACGCACCGGCCUCUUGCUGACCUCUGUCCAAUUCGUCGCUUGCCAUGGGCAGCUCCGCGCAACUUCGUCGACCAUCCUCAACGAAGAAGAAGAUGAAUAGUAACAAGGACAAAACUGGAAAAACGAAAUGUUUUUUUUUUUUUUUUUUUUCGGUAAAGGUAAUGGAUAUAUAGCUAAGGACAAUAAUACAAAAGCGGCACCAAAGACUUACACUCUAACUACAGUAAGUAGAAAGAAUGGAAGGGAGCCGAAGAAAGAGCCAAAGGCAAAGAGAAACAGAUACAAGAAAAACAGAAAGCGACCAACAAGGUCACUAAAACAGAAGUCACGACAGCCAACACGAAACCUUGGCAAUUCAAAAAACGAAGAGACCAAGAACGGAGAGCUGAAGUAACUUGAAGCAGGAACGCGAUCCAAGGAAUCUAUAGAGUCGAAGUACGGCCUGAGAAAAUGGAGGGAUGAAAGCCCCAGUUCCUCUGAAGACACCUGUUUCUCGGGAUAUCCGGAACAUUUGAGAAGGUAAGCGCUUUCUCCUUUACAACUUUGAUCAGGUGAUUUUUCAACGCAGAGACGACCAAGGCUUCCCCACGGAAUAUAAUAUCAUUAUUUUUUUCCAAAUCAAGUAACAUAAGGCAACAAAAGAAAAUCUAGCAAUACAGUAGAAGAACCCUUUACCGGAUAAGAAUUUAAUAGCCCAAGAUAGGUUAUCCACCCAUAGUCUCGCUCGCCAAGGUAAGUUACACCUUGUCGCCCAAAAGAAAGCAAGAGAAGCCGAGACAUGGCAAUAAAAAAAUAGGUGAUUGAUGGAAUCCGGAACUUCAUUGCAUAAUGCACAAGUGCAAAAGUCGAUUCUUCCACAAGAGAGAAGGAGCUCCUAGGUAGGCAAUCCGUUCCUCGUAAUCAGCCACAAAUUAAACUGGAAUCUAGGAGCAAUAUCAGAGUUCUAGAUAAGAGAAGCCCAAGGCACCCGGUUUUUUUCUAUUCUAAUGCAGUCCCAAGCAGAAGCCACCGAGAAGGAUCCGGAGGGAUCCCAACUCCAAAAGAAAUGAUCCAGAGUAGAGGAUGAAACCGGAAUGGAGAAUCCCAAGCUUUGAAGGAAAAGCCUGAAGGAAUUGCCCAUAGGGGAGAGAAGAUCCGCGACUACUGCAUUCUUUGGAAGACCAGAUGUUUCAAUAAGAGGAAGUGGAAUAAGCUGAUCAAGAGGGCCCUCUGAAAGCCAGCGAUCAAACCAUAAGGAAGCCGAAAGGCCAUUUCCAAUUUUCCAAAGAAAUGAUGACCGAAACUCUGCUCUUAGAAGUAAGAUUUUUUUCCAAGCCCGAGAGCAAACAGAAGGUGAGGAAGAGAUCCAAAAGUUGUCCCAUUUUAAGAAAGUGGAGUGAAUCCAACGACACCAUAAGGAUUCUUUGUCUGUGAAAAGAAUCCAAAUGUAUUUAAGCAUCGCUGAUUUGUUACCGUCUUUCAACUUACGAAUACCCAAUCCUCCUUCAUUUUUAAGAAGGCACACUUCAUCCCAUGCAACCUUAGCCUCGCCUCUGCCAAGAGUGGCGCCUUUCCAUAGAAAUUGUCUCAAGAUUUUCUCGAUACUAUUUAGGACCGAAACCGGCAAAGUAAAAACAUUGGACCAAUACGCUUGAAUAGAAUGUAAGACUGACCUUAUAAGUUGCAGCCUACCCGCAAAAGAGAGGAAGCAUUGAGUGCAUGACUGGGCCUUGGCAGUAAUCCGAACAAUCAAGGUCAUGCAAUCUGCUUUCCCAAGUCUGGAGGAGAUGAUCGGUACACCUAAGUAUUUCACUGGGAGCUUUCCUUCUUGAAACCCAAAUGCCAUAAGAAUAUAGUUGCGCAGCGAAGGAGCCCCACUCGAUAAAAAGAUUUCGCUUUUGUUCUUAUUCGGAAGGAGCCCACUCCAAGAAAAAAAUAGAUUGAGGCCCUUUUUCAGAAGAGUAAUGGAAGGCCAGUCAGCCUGACUGAAGAGGAAUACAUCAUCAGCGAAAAAGAGAUGAGAAAGACGGACUGGUUUACAUCUCCAAUAAUACUUAAACUCCCUUCGAGCAGUAUUUGCAUUCAAUAUUCUAGAGAAAACCUCCAUUACAAGGGUGAAGAGGUAGGGGGACAUCGAAUCGCCCUGGCGAAGCCCCCUCCCACCCGUAAAGAAGCCAUGCAGUUCUCCAUUAAUAGAAAUAGAGUAUUUCGGGGUCCGAACACAAACCAUAAUGAGUCGAGUAAGAGGUUCAGGAAAGCCAAAUGCCAACAAAGUAGUUUGAAGAAAGUCCCAAUCAACAGUAUCGAAGGCUUUCUGAAAAUCAACCUUUAUUGCGCAUUUGGGAGUAUAAGGUUCUAGAUGAAAACCAUCAAAAAGCUCUUGCGCCAUCAGUAUUGUCACGCCCCGAACCUCGAGCGCGCCAACAUCCCACCAUGGUCAUGCAAAUGCGACAUUCCCAGGUAGUGUCGCCGACCCCAUACAUUUAUUAAUGCGCAAGCGGAACGUAUUAUAAAACCCCUGACAAUAAAAUACGGGAUAGAAAAGCAAGAAGCAAAACCACAACAUAACACUUCCAUAAUUUAACAGAAUUACAAAGAGAGGUCUACGGCCAAAAGUCUACAAAAGACCGGCUCUUAAAAAUGAAUUGUCCUACGACCUACAAGUCGGACACGUUAUCCAAUCUUAUGACUUCACCUCUGCAACUCCUCAAGGCCAACCAAAGCUAUCUGGUCGCUCCGUCCACCAGGGACCUGAAAUUUUAAUCCCACAACCGGGAUGAGACGAUGUCUCAGCAAGUUCAACCCCCUAAACCCUUAUUAGAAAGAAAAUACGCCCAAGGGUGGCCUAGCCACAUCACACAGAGAACUUACCUCGCCUCAAUUCCUUCCUGCAGGUUAGCACAAUUUGUAUCACACAAUCUCAGGUAGUAAUAAUAAUUCAAACAAUUGGAACGCCAUCACUUUCAUAUAAAUCACGAUCGCACUUAGCACGCAUUCCAAUUAUUAUUCACUGCCACACAAAGGCAUAGCCUACUCGCGGAUCGGUUAUCUACUAACAUUACGGCAUUUCUAGAAGAAUAAAGGUCCAGUCGGUCUCGCCACUACUGCGACCAAGCCACGUCAUUCUCUUGACGGCAUUUCUAGAAGAAUAAAGGUCCAAUCGGCCUAGCCACUACUACGACCUGAGCCACGUCACUCUCCCUUGACGACAUUUCUAGAAGAACAAAGGUCCAGUCGGCCUAGUCACUCUCCCUUGACGGCAUUUCUAGAAGAACAAAGGUCCAGUCGGCCUAGCCACUACUGUGACCCGAGCCACGUCACUCUCCCUUGACGGCAUUUCUAGAAGAACAAAGGUCCAGUCGGCCUAGCCACUACUGCGACCCGAGCCACGUCACUCUCCCUUGACAGCAUUUCUAGUAGAAUAAGGAUCCAGUCGGCCUAGCCACUACUGCGACCCGAGUCUUUCAACCAGCACACAACAAUUCAAUAAUUAAUUGCACAAAUCAUCACUCAAUUUGUAAUAUCUAAUCAUCAAUUUCAUAUUCUGAAUACACAGCAGCGAUCAGCACAAAAUUCUGAGAAUUUAGGGUCCCAACUUAAUUUUCGGAAUUUAUUUAAUAACUAAAUUUAUUUCGAAAAUUAAUUAAAUAAUAAUAUCCCUAUCUUUCACAAUCCACACUCGAUUUAUAAUAUCCAAUCAUCAAUUUCAAAAUCUGAUUACACAGCAGCGACCGGUACGAAAUUCUGAGAAUUUAGGGUCUUGACAAAAUUUUCGGAAUUUAAUAAAUAAUUAAAUUUAUUCCGAAAAUAAUUAAAUAAUAAUAUUUUAAUAAUUUCGAAUAAUAAAAUAUUAUUAAAUCAUUAAAGAAUUUCGAAAUAUUUAUUUAAUCCCAAAAGUAAUUCAUUUAUGUCAAAUCAAGGCUUAUUUUAAAUAAACCCACUUACCCUUAAUUAAGCACACUUUAAAUUAAACCACCACCUUAAUCAAAUCUACUCUUAAUUAACCUAAACUAACAACCUAAUAAUACUUAAUAUAAACUAAACCUCCUUAAGCAUAAUUAACCCUCUAAGCGAGGUUUAGUGAGCUAAAUUCACCGGAUUAGCGAGCCGAGCGGACCAAAACGACGGGGACGACGCGAGGAUCGACUUUCCUCAAAGCGGGCCGAGCAUCCGGGCUCGGGAAGGCGGCCAAAACGGGCCAAACACCCGCUGCCAUACCCAUUUUUCCAGAUUCUGUUUGGGGCCGAUGGAGGGCGGAUCCGGCGCCGGAAUGGGCGGAGGAGGGUAGGCGGCAGCUUGGACGGGCUGAAGGGGAGGUCGACGGCGGCGGAGGGAGCUCCGGCGAAGGCCCGAGCUGCUGGAACGCAGGCUGGCACGAACGAGGGCGACGAGCAGGCGAGCUGACCGGCGGAGCGGCGUGCGGACGGCGCGGUGCGGCGGACGGCGCGCGAGUGGCAAACGGAAGUCCGGCUCCGGCGGCUUGCUAUUCGAUCUUCGCUGCUGCUUUCGCUCUCAGAUCUGCUGGAGACGUCGAGCAGAAACCGGAGACGGAGAAGAGAGGAGAGAGGGAGGCUGAGGUCCGAGCGGCGAGGCGCGGCCACGACGGCGGGCGGACGGGCGAAGGCGGCGACGGCUCCGGCUGCAGCUGCGACGGUUGCUGGCUUCUGGUUGCUGGGUUCGAAGCUGGAGAAGAAGAUGGAGAUGGAGAGUGGUCGCACGGGAGAGAGGAAGAAGAGAGGGAGGAGAGAGAAGGAGGGGGCCCUUUUCAUUUUCUUUUUCUCUUUCUUUAAUCCAACAAAAAUGGCCCACCAUGACCUAGGAUGACAUCACACUCCACUAUCUCCCACAACCUUAUUCCAAUGGUUGCAAUUCCAUUUUCCGUCGGGGCAUAAAACUUUGUACAUCCAAUUUCUUCAAUUCUCAUCAAUUCUCUCCCAAUUGAAUCAAAUUGAAGUCCAUAAAAUUAAUCCAAUGUCACCACACUCUAGUUCACAUCUUCACUUGUCCAUAGAACCAACUUAAGUCUCAAAAGCGCGACCAAAGACGAGCCUACUAAUUUCUUGAGCCAAAUUAGCCAUUCUCUGAUUAUUUUGCUGAAAAACUCGGUUUGCAUGAAAAAUCUUCUGAAGAUUAGUCAAUGUUCCUAAAAUGAUUUGUGACACACCCAGACUUCCAAUUUCUGAAUUCGAUCUCAAUUUCACGGUUAAUUUCACUUUGGCAUGAUACUAGUGCGGCCCAACCUACCGGGUAGCUUUUAGAAAUUUUCAUGCAUUUGACCUGUGGUUGAUCAUCGGAAGCCACAAUGUACAUUUUUGAAACAUUGGCGACUUUCGGUUGUCGGGGUAAUCUCAAGAUUUCAAAUACGAACACAGGGUACCCAAUCGAUAGAAAAGUCGGUCCAGUGUCGAUCGACAAGAAUUGUGCGAUCUUGUGGAAUCACCCACACUCGAUCACAUGCCUCUGUCGAGUCAACCUAUUUCCGGUCUCUAAUCGAUUUUUAUUUGUGCUGUAAUGACCCUUGUAGAUUAGCUCGGUCGAAAGAUCGCUUCCUGGUCAAAUUCUCAAGUCUGAUGCAUUAGAAUUUCUUAACGGCUUCACCUGAUAGAUUAGUUUUCACAUGAGUGGCCGACUCAAGGAAAAGAACUAUAUGCGUGCCAACGAAAUGCCCGUCUCAAUUUAUUGAAAAUAGAAUUGGAAAAUUGAGAUGUCACAAGUAUAUUAUCCCUAAUCCUUCUCCCUUUAACAAAUGCAUUCUGGGAAGAAUCAACCAAAUCGCUCAAGAUAACAGCUAGGCGAUUAGCCAAGAUUUUUGUGAUGAGCUUAUAAAUAGUAUUACAGCAAGCGAUAGGUCGGAAAUCAGUCACAGCACAAGCAUUAGGCACUUUAGGUACCAAGGCAAGAAUGGUACUGUUUACCUCUCUCAAAAGACGGUCUGAAGAGAAGAAAUCAGAAACCGCCUCCGUCACCAACGGGCCAACAGUCCCCAGCAAGUCUUAAAGAACUCAACAGUAAAGCCGUCAGGACCCGGCGCUUUUCCUUUUGCGAGAGAAAAGAGCGUAUCUUUAAUUUCAUAUUCCAAGACCGGUCUAGAAAGGGAGAAUACCUGAUCAACCGACAAAGGUCUUCGAAUGAACUCUUUAACGUCCUGCAAUGAAGGCUUGGAUAGCACCGUUUGAGGAGAUAAGAGAUCAUCGAAGAAAGAGACAAAAACCUGUGGAACCGCUAAAGGGUCACUGAUCAAAGCACCCGAAGAAUCCUUAAGUGAGAGGAUUCUAUUCCUAAGCUGCCUUCUCUUGACGGAAUUAUGAAAAAAUUUAGUAUUUCGAUCACCUUCCUUGAGCCAGCGGAUUCUUGAUUUAUGCAUGUAAAAAGAUUCCUCAUCUCUAUGCAAGUUCACAAAGAGCUUACGGUGCGCCUUCUCAAGAUCAACAAAGUCAGAGUUGGUUGGAUCAAGAUGAAGAUCAAGCUGAGCAAGACAAAGAGCUUCUCUAGCUUCCGCUGUCCUCACUGAAAUAUUGGAGAACUCCUCCUUAUUCAGUUGUUUGAGCCGGCUUUUUAGCACCUUCAGCUUGGAUACUAGUUUGAACAUAGCAACCCCAACAACCGGAGUAUCCCAAGCUUGCUGAACGAUGGAAGGGAAGUCAGAAUGCUUAGCCCAGAGAUUAAAAUAUUUGAAAGGCCUUCUUUUAAAAAACGGGUUAAGGACUCUGACAACCAUGGGCAAGUGAUCCGAGAUGCCCGGAUUCAGGAACGAGGCCUCAGAGAAAGAGAAUUCCAUAUUCCAUUUAGAAUUAACCAAAACGCGAUCGAUUUUCCUCAUUUUUCUAGAAGUACCAGCAGAGGUCAACCAAGUAAACCGAAGGCCAACAUACCUAAGAUCACCCAAUUUAGUCUGAGCUAAGCAGUUUCCGAAUUCAUCAAAAUAAGGAAUCCAUAGGUUGGAGCCACCAAAUCGGUCCGAAGGAUCUUUAAUGGCAUUAAAAUCUCCAGCUACGAACCAAGGCAUAUCCUGCAUAAGAUUAUUCAUACGGAGCAAGUCCUCCCAAAGAGGCCGGCGGUGAUUGAAAUAAUGUUCUCCAUAAACAAUAGACACGCAACAAACCAUACCAGUCAGGGUGUAUGUAAGUCUACAAUGUACAGCUUGAUCAUUGAUCAACAACGUUUCAUAGCUAACAUACUCAGGGUUCCAGCCCACCCAAAUUCUUCCACGAGGGGAGAAAUCAUAAUUUGCAACUCAAUUCCAACCAUUCAAAAAGGAGGAGGAUAUAGAUUCAAAAGAAACUUCAGGAACUUUAGUCUCGAUAAGGCCAAUAAGGCACAGAUUGUGGGUGGAGACAAAUCUCCUAACUUCUGCCCGCCUAACAGGGUUCAUGAGGCCUCUUAUGUUCCAAGCACCUAUAUACAUAUUUAUAAAGAAGAAGGAGAAGAUUACCUCUUCUUGGUGGCCCUUUUCCGACCCACAGUCGGAUUAGGAGCCACAGAAGAAGGAGGAUCCGGGCAUAUAAGCAAGAGCUUAUCUUGGAGUGUCUCAAUCGGGACAUUUUUGUGAGGGGCUUUCGGAGAAGGGCAUCCAAUCGAUAGCAGGUCCUCAUUGUCCGAAACGGCAUGAAUGCUGGAGUUACCAAUCUCGUCCGAACAAUCAGAUAGAAUCAAAGGAGGAGAGACGACUUUCGCUUUUGCCAAAGAAGAGCUUUCAACAACCUUCGAGAAAGAUAAUGAGAUUCCAGGAGUCUUGUGAGGCAACGAAGCAGAACCAACUUCCCUAGAUACAGGGCCUUUUAGUUUUAGCUUUAGAGAAUGCCCCCCUUCAGUGGGCAGGGCUAAACUAAAAGAUGCAGCUCCUUUCUCGACCACCUUCUUAUUUCUUUUUACUUGCUUCCAUCCCGGGUCAACAGUAGCAUGAGGGAUUGCAGCAGAGACAGUAGGCAAAGGCAACUCCUGAGCUCCUUCGCAUCCAGAAGCCAUUGCAGUAGAAUUGAGAGAGCUCAGAGAUUUAUCAGCAGUAGAAUUUGUUACCUUAUGCAUUUCAGGGAGGGUCUCCUCUGCUGGAAUAGGUCCAGCAUCACGCUUCUUAAUAAACAAGGGGUUAUCAUGUGUUCUGUCCGAAGACUGAGCGAACUGAGGAUGCGAGCUUGCUUGAACUGCAGGCCGAGAAGAAGGGUUAGGAGAUGAAGUCCCAUCUUGAGGAGCAUGGGAUCUAGCGAUCAAAGAACGUUGAGCAUUUGCAGUAGAGAGCUGAGCAACACUAGCACUGCAUUUGUGGCCAAAGACACCACAACCUACGCAAGCCGUGGGUCUCCAUUCAUAUUCUACUUUCACCAAACACGAAUUGCCCUGGUGAACCAAUUCAAUGGACUCACAUGAAGGCUGCUUUGUUGUAAUCUCUACACAUACUCUAGCAUAAGCCAGAGCUUUCAUUUGAUUAGUACUUGUGUCUACAUAAAGCAGUUUACCAACCUUACUUGCAAUCUUACUGAUAGCCUGAGAAGACCAGAACACGGGAGGUAAGUUUUUAAGCCUUACCCACACAGGAACUGUAAGGUGGGAGUCCUUCCUCAAAUCCAGGGCCGGUCUCCAUUGUUGCAACACAAAAGGCACCUUUGAAACGGUAAUAAGGCCUCCUUCCAACACUUUUCUCCGGAACUCCCAAUUCGGAAUAUGGAAAUAGAAAAACCCCUUCCCAUCAGCCAUUAGUUCGACCAAAUUAGGCCCCCACGCCUUUUUGAAAGCUACUUCUGUAACUUUAAAAGGAAUUCUUCUGCCCAGAUAAUAUCCAACGAGACAAUCCUGAAGUUUCGGGUCAGCAGCCUGCAGAUCAUCAUCAAUCAUUUCCACAGAUGGCCCAUCAUUGACUGGAGGAAUGAACUCCAAGUCGUAGCCUUUGGUGGCUACUCUGGCCACAGCCACACUCGCCCAAUUGCGCAGGUUUGAGCUUCUUGAGACUGCUCGCUGAGGUCACUUCGAAUCUGAUCUACCUUUGCUUCUCCCUCGUGGCCCAUCUGGAUCACGAGUGGAACGGGCUUGAACGGAAGGCUGCUUCGAACCAGCAAGGGGCCGAACAUAACCACCCAAGUUCUCAUUAGCAACACCGCCACGAGAGGAGGGGCCAUGGUCAGGAACGGGAGGGCUACGGACAGCCCUUUCCCCCUCAAUUUGGGCUGAAGAAGUUUCGGGAUCCAUAACAGCAACGAAUUGCAGAGAAAGGGCGAGCAAACCCUAACCAAACUCGGCCAUUUGAAGCCCAAAGAGAUCACGUACCAGGGAAAACUUAAGGGGGGUUGAAGAGGCCUACCAAGCGCCCCAAGUCGCCAACAACUAGCUUCAACGAACUGUCAGCAGGAACAAGGCUUCAGACGCCCUUUUUUGAGAGCUUCGGAGAACAGAGCGACGCACGGGAAAAGCGACACAAAAGGGCUGAGGUCGGAGACGGAUACGCGGGCGCUGGGCAACGGGAGCAGUGAAGGCAACGUCACUCGGAGCUCCGGCGACGGAGCCGCUGGUGGCUGCAGCGAGAGAAGCGACGUUCGGCAGCGCGGGCGUCGGCUGAGAGGCGCUCGGGCGGAGGGCAGGGGCAGAGGCGCAGCGACGGCGGAGGGUAGGGACGAAGGCAUAGCGUCGGGCAAAGGCAGAAGCAUGGACGCUGGGCGAAGCUGCUGAGGAGGCAGGCGAGUGGGCGCUCGAUGUAGCAACGAGGCAGAGCUUCUUGGGAUUCUUUUUCUUCGGAAAAACAAAAUGUUAGUGAGGACAUUUGUGGAAGAAAUUUUUUUAGCUUAUUCUCCCUCAACCUUCCGAGAAGGCCGAAUGCCCAAGGCAGCCCCCAACCUGCCUUGGGCUUUCAGCUUUGAGAAGACUUGCCUUUGGCAAAAGCAAGUCAAAAAAAAUUUGCCAAACACUGAAUAUUUGGCCCAAAGGCCUUUAGGGGUUUAAAGAUCCUUGGCAAAGUGGUUGCCAAACGCAGUCUAAGUCGUUUAGUAACUAUUCAAAAUUUAUGAUUCUGAAAUAGAUUUGUGUUUUGUAUCGUGCUCAUUAAUUCUGUUUCAAAUCAAUUUAUUUUAAUUUUUAAAUAAUUUUUUUACUUUUUACUUUUUCUUUUUCUCUUAUUCUUCUUCUUCUUGUGACCCGUUGCCGGACCGGCCACCAGCCAAAUGAGGGUUGGUGACCUCAUCGGAGCGUCGCCGGCCCUCGGCGAGGCUGGCCCUCGUCAGCCGAGCCUCGCCGAUGGCCAGGUCGGCCUUGCUGGGGCUAGCCCAGCCCCGGCGAGCUCGCCGGACUGGCAGACGGCGGACGGCGGCCGGCAACUAGCGACCGGCUGUCGGCAGACGGUGGCGGACAGUGGUGGACGGCGGUUGCAAGAUGGCCGAAGGGAAAAAGAAGAGUUGUUAAUUUUAAUUCUCAAUUCUGAUUUUGAAACAAGAAUCAACUUUUUUUUUAUUCUUGAUUUCACUCUCAAUUUGUUCCUAUAAACAAAAAUUUUAUUAAAUGCGAUUCUACACCAUUUUGAGAAAAAAAAAAUCAGAAUUUGGUCAUGUUUGGACCUUGCAGUCCCACCUUUUCUUUUUCUGCAAAAAGCAAGUGUCCCAGAUUUCUUAAUUGCCUCCCUUGAUCAACCCCAUUUCUCUCUUCUUCUUUUUUGUGGUUUCCCCCCAGCAUUUUAGUUUCUAUAAAUAACAAGUCUUCACCAUUAACAAGACCGAUGAGUCACCCAGCAAACUAAGCUACCCAGUGACCGAAACGCACUCCAGAAAAUGAAGAGGAACCGAUAGAGAAAGGUUACCAACAAUUGAAAAUAGUCAAAAACCAGGUAGAUUGCAAAGACUGGUUGAGCACACUCGUCAACGGAAGGACGAAUUAAAACACACGAGAGAGAGAGAGAUGGAGAGAUAAAAUGAGAAAGGAAAACCUUGGGUUGAAUUUGAUGAAGGUGCGCAUUGUCAUUGAGAAUUGUUCUUCCUGAUUUGCACCAGCUUCUCCUCUCUCUUUCUCCUCGCUUCCUCGCCGCUCACGCCCUUCCCGUACCCGUUCUUGCGCGUCGCACUGGAUGGUCUCAGAGACAUUGCUCACCUCCCUCUCAACUCCCUCCCCCCCCUAAGGUCCCCAGUAGCGGGUCUGUCCUCGGCAAGCUCCAAGAAAGUGAUCAACGUAGCAAAAGGAGGAGGCAGAGAGGAAGUAUGGCAAGUGGGUAGGAAAAAGCUGCCCUUUUUUUGAUAAAAGAAUAGCAGAAGACGAAAUUAACAAAAAAAAAUAAAAAGCAGAAGACGAUAGACACCGGCUCGGGCUUCGUGCAGAGUGGAGAACGGGAGAGAGAGAGGGAGACGGUCUGCAGCGGAGAGAGAGCGUCGCAGAGGAGAGCAGAGGUGGGCCAGGUCUACAGGAGAGAGAGAGAGCAGAAGAGAGGGAACCAAAAUUUUAAAUCGCUGAAUGCGAGGCGACACGUGUCAGCUUCUGAACGAUUUUACGUUUGGCUUAAAUGGGAGUGUAAAACCACCUAAUAUUUUCUAACUAAUUAGGUUGCGUAUCAGAACAAAAAAAAUAUAUAUAUAUAUAUAUGUUUGGUAACACCAAAUUGAUUUUCUAUUUCGGAGAAUAGAAAGUUAGUCUAAAAGUAAAUUUGGAGUAAAAAAGAGAAACAAAAAAAAAUUGCUUAUGUUCCCGGAAAUAAUUUAUAUAAAUAAGUAAUUUUUUUUCUUUUAUUCUUCUCUCUUGUCGUGGCCACUUUCAACCACCUGGAGCCACUGCCAACCGCCCCCGUUGCUGGUCGUCGGCCGCCAAUUGCUAGCCUCUGCCACUGUCAGUCGUCGUCACCGACCUCCUCUGCUGCUGCCGCCGCCGGCUUCCGCCGCUGGUUGCCCACCGCCGCCGCAUGACCACCCGUUGCCAGCCGCUCGCCACCCGCCGCCGCAUGAUCGCUAGCCACCGACCGUCGGUAGCCGAUGGGCUAUGCGGCGGCGGUCGGCAAUGACGGUCAAUGGUCGGUGGUCGUGUGGCGGCGACCAAGGGUAACGGCCGGUUGCGGUUGGCAGUCGACAAUCCGUGAAUAAGAAUAAAAAACGAAUAAAUAUAAAAAAGAAAUUGUUGCGUUACCAAACGCAUUUCUAUUCUUUUUCUAUUCCAAAAGUAGAAAUUUUGUGUAAUUACCAAACGGGUUUUUUUAUUCAGAAAUUGUUUCUCGGAAUAUAAAUAGAAAAGAACUAUUUCCGAAAAAAAAAAAACUCUUCCCCAAUCAAGAAAUGUUGUCAUGUGCAUCCUUAGUUGCCACUUGCCAAGUCUUGUUAGCUUGACUUUUUAUGUUGUGGGAUCAUAAAAUUCCAGGGCGGGUCGGUCCUUACCUCUCGAGCCUCUCCACCGUCGCGAGAGAGAGAGAGCAGAGCAGCAAUAAAUAAAUAACGGUGGAGCCCACAGUUGCUGGACCCACCUAACUUGGAGNNNNNNNNNNNNNNNNNNNNNNNNNNNNNNNNNNNNNNNNNNNNNNNNNNNNNNNNNNNNNNNNNNNNNNNNNNNNNNNNNNNNNNNNNNNNNNNNNNNNAACAAACCAAAUAAUAAAUUAUGAUAAAUGUUUCGAGCAGGUGGACUUAUCCGAUAUACCCAACCCCCUGCAAUCCCUAUCUAUCUUAACUAGUUAGCAAGACAAACAUUCUUGAGGAAACAAGGGACUCCCAUUCUUAAAGAAAUAACUGUAAAUUAUGUAAAAAUUCACAGCUACCAUCAUCUUAAGUUAAUUUUUGAAAAAAAAUACUAUGGAACACUUAUUUGUUACUUACCUAUGAUUUUCAGCAAGCUUAUUUACAAAUCCAUAGAAUGAUAUCGCCCUGUCCAGAUUUCUGCCUCUAUAUUCACUUUGGUGGGGGGGGGGGGGUUUGGGUUGUUCAAGGUGGCCGGGGUGGCUUUGCUGCGGUAGAGUUUCGGUUGUGAGACUUGAUGCGGAUCACCUCAACCCACCCAAUUGAUAUUUGCUCAUGUUAUGCUGACGUGGCAUCGUCUUGGAAGAAUACACCGGAUUGGUCGAAUUUAAUGGAGACAAUACGUUGAAUAUAAUUUCAAAACUUGUGCUAUCUUGUCGGUUCGAUUCCUAGCUGUGCUUGAGAAUUGCUUAUGCGUCUCUUGUUAUAUGAUUCUUGAAAAUUCUCUCUUUACCAGUAGUCGCAUCAGUUCGAGUUCCGAAAAAUUUCAUCUUUCUCGUGUUAGAACUCUCUCUCUCUCUCUCUCUCUCUCAAUACAGUGACAACAUACACGACGCAACCUACUCGAUCUAGAACAGCAGAGCAGGGAGAGAGAGAGAGAUCUGUGUUAGCGAAUCAGCAUAUCAUCUAUCGAUUCGCCUAUCUAGGGUUUAUCUUCGAGGUUAGGAAUUUGAGCGUGCCGGUACAUGGAAUUGGGGAAUGAUUCUCUUCGGGGCUUGUUAUCUUGAGUAUUGAGAUCGCGUAUCUAGGAUUUAUCUUUCUUGCUUUGCUUGCUUUGCGAUCUUGUAAAUCUGAGAUCCUGGGUUUUCAAUUUCCACCGUUCUAUGGAUUUCUUUUUUUUUUUGUGGAUUUUUCACUAUAGAGUUCUGUCGCGACCUCUUUUUUUUUUCGGCGCCCGCAAUCGUGUACGAGCGCCUAAGGAGGCUAAUGGCUCGGCUGAAUUUAAUUAUGCCCGGACUCUCCCAAGUCCACCAAUUCACGACUUUAAUAGUCUAAGUUUUUAACCUGUAAAUCAAUUUUUAAAUUGGAGUCGCCAUUAAUCGAUUUGGGGUGGGUCGAUUAGAAACCCAAGCGAAGUAUCGGGAGAAAUACUCGCUCCUGCGUAACCAGAGAAAUUAGGAUCGGGGACUUGAUUACACUAGUUAAUCACUAAUGCCCUUUCGGUACCUAAUCUUGUUUAAACCCUGAGGUUUUUGGAUGUUCGAGGGAUUUUCCAUGCAUUUUUUAGAGGAAAAGUAUUUUUCUCAUUUUUUGGACAUAAAAGGGAUUUUUUGGUAUUUUUUGGAAAAGUACAAGUCUUUUUGGCUUUUUCUGAAUUUUUUUGGCUUUUUCAUGAAUUUUUGGCUUUUUUUGGAUUUUUGGCAUUUUUUGGAAAAUAUGAAAUUUUUUUGAUUUUUUGAUUUUUUGAUUUUUCGGAAAAUAAAAUAUUUUUUUAAUAUUUUUUAAUAUUUUUGGAAAAUAAAUUAUUUUUGAUUUUUCUCGAUUUUUUAGAAAAUAAAACAUUUUUCAACAAUUUUUUAAUAUUUUUCGAUUUUCUGGAAAUUAAAACAUUUUUGAUUUUUUUUAAAUAAACCAUUUAUUUAUUAUUUAUUAGAAUAUUAAUUUAUAUUAAAAUAACAAAAUAAAACCAACCCGGGUCGGAUCCGCAGGUUGGGUCCGACCCGGGCCGGCGACCCAAACGCGGAUGGGCCCGCGUUGCGGGCCCGACUCGGAUUUUUGCCCCCCCUUUUUUUUUUUAAUAUUAAAACGACGCCGUGGCCCAAAAGCCCGUUUUCGAAAAGAAUCGGGCCAACCCAUUGACCCGGUUCGGCGAAACCCUACCCGAUUCGCCGAACCGGAUUUCCGCCGCCCAAAAAUCAUGGAAACCCUACCCGACUCGCCGACCCGGCUCCGACUCCAUGACCCGGCUUCCAACCUCCCUUGGCCUCGCGAAACCCUACCCGACUCGCCGACCCGGCUCCGAUUCGACGACCCGGAAAAUCGCAAACCCUAGGGUUUGCAAAUCCGCGGCACCGAGGGAGGAAAACCGAGGCAUUACGACGGCGAUGGCGACGGUGACAAACCGGCUACGGGGACGGCGAGGACGAGCAACAACACUGUUGCGCUGGUGUGGUUGGUGGCGACAUGGUCCGAGAGGGGGAAUGUGACGGCGAUAACGCGAUCGACGGCGGUGACGGUUACUGUUACCUGUCCGUGACGGGGUGGCAAAUGGUGUCGGUGACAGGGCAACUCGGUUUCCCGAUCUGGCGCUGCGUCGGUGGACCAAUCACGGCAACGGCUUCACAGGUGGGCACAACAACAAGCCGUCGAAGCAACGGCGUCGGGACUGAGGCGAACGGCUGCGGCACGGCGUCCGGCGGCAACAACAGCAGCAAAAAAAACCAGAUCUACUGCGUAGCUCUCGGCCGGACCCUCCUCGGCCUUGAUUCCUCCUCACUCAGGCCAGAUCCGAGCCUCCACCGGCCGGAUCUGACCUUCUCGAAGUCACUCGCCGCCUACCUUCCCCGAAGUCUCUCGGUGGAAGGUGGGCUGAGCUCGCGACUCGAGCUCUCUCCUGCGCUCGCCCUUCAACCCUUCCCGAUGUCUCUCAGUGAAGGAUCUCCGAGCUCGCCACACCCUUCGACGAUGCUUGCGGCCACCUAUUUAUAGGCGAAGGAACUCCGGUCGACGGAGGGGCUCGGUCGCCGGCCUCCAGCUUGCCCACCGGUUCCGCUCGGCUGAACUGGUGUCCCAUCGAGCUUUCUAGCGAAGCUCGCUCAGCAUUAAUGGCACCUGCGAUCUUAUCCCCUCCGGCCGACAUUGCCCUACACUCCUCGGCCGUAGGUCGUCCUUUGCGCGCGUCGCCGGCCACCGCGCGUGAGAUGCAAGCGACUGAGGAAGAAGAAGACAGGAGGAAGAAGAAGAAAGAAAAGGGGCCGGGCCAAGGGUGAAGGAAAAUGGGCCAUAUGGGCCACGCGGAGGGGGAAGAGAAAGGGAAAAGAAAAAGGGCUGGGCUUUUGCUUUUUUUUUGUUUGUUUGUUUAUUAAUUAUCUUAUUUAUCCGAAAUAAAAUAAAAACUUAAUAAAAUAAAAUUAACCUAAUUAAAAUUGAGGUGUCAACAAGUUCCAAUUUUCGCCAUCUGUUCUGAGCUUUGUUCCUUAGUGAAACCCUAAGUCCUAGCACUCUGGUAGCUGGUCUUCAUAUAGUCCUGAUUUUUUGAACCUUUGACUGCUUUGAUUCCGCGAAUUUCUUGGGUCCUUCGGUGUAUCCGGGGAUCUCUGCUGGGAAUUUGUGAUUUUUUUGAUCGGAUGAAUUCAGUUCGCAUCAUAUACGGAUUACUUGGAUCUUUUCCAGGUAUUUGACCUUUUGGAAACAGAUUCUUGAAUGCUUCAACUGGAAAAUAAAAAUAAAAAUGGCUUUUAAGUGAAAAGGCAGUCAAAGAUUGAACUGGGUGUUUCUUGUUUGCUUCUCGGGGAAGUGACAAUCACGAGGACGGUCAAAUUUCGUGCUUUCAAGCUUGAUGGAUCUCUAAAUCUAGGAUUCUAAAUCUAAGACCUUGCACUUAAGCCUUGCUUAUUUAAAUGAAUUCUGCAGGAAUUGGGAACUGAGUACCUAGUCAGGCCUGUGGGUCGUCCUGAGGAUGAGGAGGAUGCAAGUGACUUCGAGCCUGAGGAGAAUGGCGAGGAGGAAGACGCUGACGAAGAGGACGAGGAUGAAGACGAGGACGAUGCUGGUGGUAAGGUCGAGCCUCCGCCAAAGAGGAAGCGAUCGGACAAGGACAACUCUGACGACGACGAUGAUGAUGGGGGAGAGGAUGAUGAGAGACCUGCCAAGCGAUAGGCCCAAGGGCCCUUCGUGGUCUGAGCAAUGACUUUGACAUAUUGACUCUAUUUUCUCUCUCAAAACCCGAUCCUCUUUGCAGCAGGGAAAAAAGAUAGCUGGUUUUCAAUUGGAGUAAGCUUUUUCUUUUGGAU
Molecule: long non-coding RNA, 50464 nt
Filed under: Eucalyptus grandis
Lineage: Eukaryota; Viridiplantae; Streptophyta; Magnoliopsida; Myrtales; Myrtaceae
Description: long non-coding RNA (EGRA_LNC001142)
Source: RNAcentral